CCAAGGUUCUGAUGGCAUUCUGAACCUCUUGAGCAGAGUUGUACGUCACAAACCCAAAACCUUUCGACCUACCACUGUCCCUGUCGUAGAUGACUCUAGCCUCAACAACCUUCCCUUGCUCCCCGAACAAACUCUCGAGCGCCAUGUCAUCGACUCCCCACGAGAGAUUGCCGACAUAAACACGGUUCCCUGAACCAGCACCACCACCUCCACCAUAUCCUCCACCGGAGCUUCCAAAGCUGCUUCUAGGUCCUCUUGAGAAGGAGUCUUCCCUCUUCGGUGGAGGAGGACCCGCGUUAACUCUCAACGGUCUACCAUCCAACUCCUGCAAACAAAACCCAAUAAGAACAACAAAACAACACAAAGGUUCCAACUUUUUGUCUUUAGCAACCACAAGUUUUUGUCUUUAGCAACACAAAGGUUCCGACAUAAGUAUGUUCUUACAUAGCCAUUGAACUGCUGUUCAGCUGUCUGAACCUCAGAGGCUGAAGACAUAGUCACAAACCCAAAACCUCUGCUUCUCCCUGUCACCUUGUCAUAGAUUACCUAAACAAAGACAACAAAACGAACAAUCACUAAAACCAAUCUCAAACAACAACAACAACAAAAAAGAUUCAAUCUUUAUCUCAUUUCUCGAAAACCCACAACUCAAUUUUGAGUUUUUGACCCGUUACCUCAACCAUCUCGACGUUUCCGGCGCUCUCGAAGAGCUGAGCGAGCUGAGCGCUGUCGACGUUAAAGGGGAGGUUACCGACGAAGAGCUUGAGGUCAGAAGAGAAGGAUUGCUCCCGCCGCGGGGGAGGAGGAGCGUCGUCGUCAGCGAAGAUGCCGUCUUCUUCGACUGAGAAGUCGUCAGUAACCGCGACGUUACGGACGAAGCGAGAGGAAGCGGCGGAGAUGGAGAGGGAGAGGGAGGCGGAGAGGGAGUGGAGAUUGAAGGAGAGGGAAGGAGGUGAGAGGGAAGCGGAGGCGGGUCUGGAGAUGGAGAAAGGAAGGGACUUGGGGGUGAAGGUGGAGAGAGCGAGAGAGGAAGCUGAAGCAGCCAUGGUGAAGAGAUGAGAAGAGAUAAGGUUUGUUUUUAGCUUUAGGGGUUUUUUGAGAGUGGAGAUAAGAUGGUGUGUUUCUGAUAUUUAUGGGCCAAAUGGGAAUAAAUAUCUUUGCACAAAAUAUCUCAUUCUGAUUUUUAUUUACAAAAUUUGCCUCAAAACUUUAUUUUAUUGCUAAAUAUUCUGCUGCUAAUAAAAUUUGUCAAAUUUUGAUGAAUUUAUCUUAACGUCAUCUCUAAAAAAAGUAUGUAUUUAAAAAAAAUAUAGGUUUUCAUAAAUUUGUACACAAUUUUUUUAGAAAAUCUUAAUUUUCAAAAUAUUUUGUAUUUUCUCACUUUAGUGGUGUUAUCUUUAGUGAGAUGACAGAUGAGAUGAGAUCUAAGCCGUAGAGUUUUGGAUGGACAGUGGAGAUGGCACGUCUCAUGCCAAGGCCCCAAAAAUAUAAAAAAUCUAUAAGAUAGGAUAUUUUAACUAAAAGCCAAUGGAAUUAACAACUCUCGUUCCAGCACAGAUCUUUAACUCCAAUAAAUUCAGAAAACAAUACAGUUCCUUUAAAGAAAACCACUGAAUCAUACAAAGGUUGCUCCAUUCAAAACAAGUUAAUAAGAAACUAUUUAUUUGGAUAACAAUAGAAGACUGAAGUUCUUGAACUGCAAAACGCUUUUAGGAUCUCUUCAAUUGGAGGGUCAUCUCCAGCUUCUUUGUCCUGAAACGUUCCAACAAACAAGUUGUUGAGUACGAGAUUGUGAUUAAUUUACCCCUUUGAUUACAUUGACAUGGUGUAAACACAAGUAUUUGAUCAAAACGUGUUACCUGGUCCAUACUCCCCGGUCCGAUCAAAACAUGAGAAACACCAGAUGCAUCCAUCACAUGCUAAGAAAACCUCAAAUGUAUCACUUAAUGAAAUGAUCAAAACCACAUCAAGAUUUUGACAUUGUUGUUUUUACUCCGGGAAAGCCGAAAGAAAUAAGAAAAAUCCUAACUUUAAGUUUUAGUUAGAAAAAAAAAUCAAAUUAAAAAAAUCUCGUGGAGUGGAGUUAUUACACGUUGCAUAGAUGACGUAAGCAUUGUCCGAAACAGAAAAAGUCAAACGCCACGUAAGCUCAGUAAGGGUAAAAAGUUUUGGAAAGGUAGAUCCUUUUCUAAAAGCGAAUGUUCCUUCUUUGCACGUUCAAGCGAUCUCAAGCCGCUCCUCUCUCUCUCUCUCUAUCAUCUCUGAAAUGGCGAGAGUACUGCGUGUGGCGAGAUCCUCCUCCUCCCUCUUCAGCUUCGGAAGCAGAUCUUAUUCAGCCGAAGCUAGCCACGUGUCCUCUCCCCCUCCUCCGUUUCUUGGAGCUCGCAGAGACGUUACCAAGGAGAGAAACGUGCAGUGGGUGUUCCUCGGUUGUCCCGGUGUCGGGAAGGGGACUUACGCCAGCAGACUCUCGAGUCUCCUCGGUGUUCCUCACAUCGCCACCGGAGAUCUCGUCCGUGAUGCGCUAGCUUCUUCCGGACCUCUCUCCCGACAGGUUCUUGUUUCACUUUAUGUCCAAAUGAAUCCCAAAACGACGUCGUUUUCUGUUUAAAUCUGCUAAAAGUUCAUGUGUCUACCAACAGAUCUAAUGAACUAGUGUUUGUUUUGUCCUAACGGAUCUGAUCCUUUUUCUAAUAAUAGUCAACGGCUCUCUCCUCUUGCUUGUAUUGAGAUUCUUAUUACUUGAUUGCAGCUAUCAGAGAUUGUAAACCAGGGGAAGCUUGUUUCUGAUGAGAUCAUAGUGAACUUAUUAUCAAAGAGACUUGAAGCUGGUGAAGCCAAGGGCGAAUCAGGUUUCAUUCUUGAUGGCUUUCCUCGUACCAUGAGACAAGCUGUAAGUUAAUUCAUUGACUUCACAUCAUAUUGAGCAAAGUUUUGAAUGAUUAAUCUUUGUGUUUUCAGGAAAUAUUAGGAGAUGUCACUGACAUCGAUCUAGUGGUGAACUUAAAGCUACCUGAGGAGGUUUUGGUUGACAAAUGCUUAGGGAGGAGAACGUGUAAUCAAUGCGGUAAAGGUUUCAAUAUAGCUCACAUCAACUUAAAGGGUGAGAAUGGGAAACCAGGAAUCAGCAUGGAUCCACUUCUCCCUCCACCUCAGUGUAUGUCAAAGCUCAUCACUCGUGCUGAUGAUACUGAGGAGGUUGUGAAAGCUAGGCUCCGUAUUUACAAUGAAACCGUAAGUCCUCUUUCUCUCUCUCUAUUGUUCUUCCCAUUUUAGCGAUGCUUGAUGCUUUGAAUGAUGUGUGCAGAGCCAGCCUCUUGAAGAGUACUACCGUAUCAAGGGAAAGCUGAUGGAGUUUGACUUACCUGGAGGCAUCCCUGAGUCUUGGCCAAGGCUGUUAGAAGCUUUAAGGCUUGAUGAUUACGAGGAGAAGCAAUCUGCCGCGGCGUAGUUCAACUACAACUCCGGUUUAUAAUUCUUUGCAUGUGGAAGACAUGUGCCUAUAUCAGUUUUGUGUUGGAAAAUAAAGAAAACCUUAGAUUGUUUUUUUUUAUUGCCUCAGAUCAGAAUAAUCAUCAUCAUACACACUUUGCAAACUAUAUGAUGUAUCAUGAUUGUUUAUGAGUUUGCUAGUUACAGGAAUGUAUAAACACUUUGGUACACUUUUGAUUAUUUAUUGUUGAAUGUGAUCAAUGAUUGUUUAUGAGUUUGCUAGUUACAUUACAUGAAUGUAUCAAUACUUACACUGCUUGUUACACAUCAGGUUUGAUGUUUGGGCUCUUGUGAUUAGUUUGUUUAUUGUUGAAUGUGUGUGAUAAUAUUGCGGCUGGCCGAGCUGGCUGGUUAAAGAACACAACCAGACAGUAAAGUAAAACAGUCGCAUACAUUAAAGAUUUUGUGGAACGUAUAACCAGCUCCUGUCUGUCCUAGAAUUGGCGGUUCGGGAUAGAACUGUUCCUUACAUACUGGAACUUCCAGUAGAAUUUGAUGCUAAUUGUUGGUCCUAAACUAGUGUGUAUCAGUUGCUAUGUGAUCUCAUAACUGGACCUUAUCUUAUGGUUUGUGCUUGAGGUUUCUGAGAAAUCGCUGGGUUCAUUUGAUUCUUCUGGUUUGACAAUUAGUUUCUUGUUAUGGACACGGUGAAAUCAGACUCAAAUCGGUGGAAUAAGACAGCCUCAAAGAAGGCAGACAUAAUCAUGUUUGCUCUUGAUUCAUCUUCAAUCUCAACAGGACAUUAAAAUCAAUUUGUAGCUUUAUUUUGUUAGUAUAUAGAUUUGAUGAAAUAAACAACCUUUAAAUUAUAAAUAUAAAGAUGAAAAUAUUCUUAAACAUGAAACCGUUUUGAUCAAGAUUCAAAAAAAACUUCAUUAAAAGAUAGGGACAUCUUCUGAAACAUAUCCAAAAAGCUCUAAUGAAAAACAGCAAGAUAAGGUCUUUGAGAUGUAAUGCAAACUCAAGGCCUAGGAAGAUCCUCCUUAACGGUUGGCCUUCGCAACUCUCUCAAUCUCAUCCUUCUUCUUGAUGGCAUAGCUGCAAAAAAACAAGACAAGAUGCUAUUAGUAUUUAGCAACAAACAAACACAAUUUGUGAACCCGCUUUAAGAGACAAGACAAUGUAAAGAUGUUUACCUGUUGGAAGAUCCCUUGGCAGCAUUGAUGAGCUCAUCAGCAAGGCACUCAGCGAUUGUCUUGAUGUUUCUAAACGCAGCUUCACGUGCACCAGUGGUGAGCAAGAAGAUGGCUUGGUUCACACGUCUUAGAGGAGAGAUAUCAACAGCCUGCCUCCUAACCACACCAGCAGAUCCAAUCCUCGUCGCAUCCUCACGUGGACCACUAGCUCACCAAUAAAACACACACAACAUUAGAAAAAAAGGUUUCUAGUAACACGCAAUAAAGAAUGCAACAUUGUUGUCUUACCUGUUGACAAUGGCAUCAAUGAUAACCUGAAUAGGGUUCAAGUCAGUCAAGAGAUGGAUGAUCUCCAUGGCGUGCUUGAUGAUCCUCACAGCCAUCAGCUUCUUUCCGUUGUUCCUUCCGUGCAUCAUGAGAGAGUUCGUGAGCCUCUCAACGAUUGGGCACUGAGCCUUCCUGAACCUCUUCACAGAGUAUCUUCCAGCAGUGUGGGGGACAAAGGUCGCGUGCUUAGCAGGCUGAACACCAAUGUAGUCAACAAGACUAAUGUCUGUGACCUACCCAUUCACAAAAAAAAAAAACACAAGAUCAACAAAACAAAUACUAAGAACAUAGCCAUUGUUGCCAAUUUAAAUUUUAGAGAUCUAAUAUUCAAAAACAAACCAAACAACACAGAAAGUGUUGGACUUUAAGACAAAGAAACAUCAGGAUCAACCAAGUGUACUGAGACAAUAAAACAUGAAUUGAAAAUUAACAAAAAUAAAAACAAAAAGAGGACAUUUUUUCCGACAUAACUCCAUGAGUUAUAUCUAAUUCAGACAAUGUAACUAUUUUUUUGUAAUAGACCAAUCAUUUCAUUGUAGAAUUAGAUCCUAUAAAGAUUGCAAAUGAGCUAUCGUAAACUUACCGAAACGUCAUCAAAGCUCCAGCGAUUGAAGAGCUUGACCUCGUUGGUAAGCUGCUGCUGAAUCUCAGCGUCAAUCUCAACGGCGGCGGCCAUGGCUGGAAACACCAAACAAAAGCUUAGCCACAAGCACACACGCAAACCAGAGAAUCGAAGAUGAAGAAGAAAUCAAUACCUCAAACUCGUAAGCGUCGUGNNNNNNNNNNNNNNNNNNNNNNNNNNNNNNNNNNNNNNNNNNNNNNNNNNNNNNGCGUCGUGUGGAGAUGAGACGGGACUAGGUUUAGCUGCAGCUACUGCUUGAAGAAGGUGGUGAGAAGAAACAAAAACCCUAAUUUUACUAGAGUAUAGGGUUUUUAAAAUGGAUUUUAUUGGGCCCAAUGGGCUUUUCGUAAGGCCCAGUCCAAGUCGUUAUACCAUAAGUCUUUAGAGCAUACUAGAAAGAGAGCAUUCAAUGCGGGAUGUCGACUUGCUAGCUCUCGUCCAUGCACCGUCCGUCGCCAUCAAUCCGUGAGUUUUUAUCGGUUUUUGUUCAAUGACUCCAACGAACUUUGAAAGAUUUGCCCACUCUUCCUUGCAAAUUAAUCACGAGAUCAUCGCCUUGUACUUGUUACUCCAUUUUGUCGUAUUAUCAUAUUUACUUGUUACUCCAUAUUGUCGUAUUAUCAUAUUUUUAUAAGAUAUUCACUAACAGUAACAGAUAAGUCAUUCUUAUCCUAAAGUCAUUUUAAUUCAGAGACGACAAAAUUUAGGAAAAAUAAAUUCUAGAUGAUUUAUCGAAAAAUAUUUGUGUGUAAUGUUAUAGUCAGUUAACUUAAUUCGUUUGCAAUUUCUAGGAAUAAAAAUAUGACAGUCUAAUUCGUUAAAUUAGUAUACUUUCCCAAAAAGACAAAUAAUACAAGCUGAUCUUGAAGAAUCAAUAAAUUAAUGUGAAAAUGAUAGACAAUGAACGUGAAGAUUGCUUGAGAUAUGAUAAGAUACUUUCAAUGCUCCCGACAAGAAAAGCAUUAAUUUGGACUCGUUGAUGCAUGGGGUAGAUAAGAGUGGACAGGGGAGCUUGCAGAGAUUGGAAACAAGUAUGGGGGAUCGAGUUUCAAGAGCAUCUCCUCAAGAAAUGAACAUGAGGAUGAGAACAUUUCUCGUCGACACACAAACUGCUAAGAUAAACUAUUGUGGUAAGAUAGAAUAUAUGUACCACAUCAAUGUCCUAGCUAAGAAUAGAUACCACAGCAAUGUUCUAGCAAAGCAAUAUUGUCGAAAGUUUGUUCAUCUAUAAUUUUCUUUUCCUUUUAAUUAAUUAAGAUGGGUGCAAUUUUUGCCUAGCAACACUAGAAUAUAGAAUAUGGACCACUUAUGUAAUUUAAGCAUGCAUAAUGGCACACUAUAAGUACUAGCUUUUAAAUAAAUAAAGUGAUCCUUCAAUUAAUUAGGUAUUUCAUAUUCUCAAAGUAAGUUAGGUAAUAAUACUUUAAUUUCCACACUUUCUUGACCCAAUAAAACUCCCCAAUAUAUUAUUUGUAGUCUACUUUUUUUUAUUAAAUUUGUAGAUAUUGUUAGAGGAAUAUAGUAUGUUUUCUUUUGAAUUAUUAUCUCUUUUUAUUUAUUUUUAUUUCAAAUAAUAAGUUUGUUUAUUUUUAAGAAGAAUAUCCUACCUCUAGUCAAUUCAAAUUGUUUGUUUCCGACCAUAUUCCAAUCAUGGUAAAUUACCCAAAAAGAACACAAAAUAAUGACGUUGAGACACUCUCAAAAGUUAGCACGUAACAAUUGUAGUAGUGAAAAGACGUCUAAGCAUAUUAAAUAUAUUUACACUUUGAAGACAAAUGCAUAUCUCAUUAUUGACUAUUCAUCAGAUAAGAAGCCAAGAGAGUACUCACUGAGACAUGAGUGGUGAUGAUUUGAGAAUGGAGCUUGCAGAGAUUGGAAAAAGCAUGGGGUCGAGUUUCAGGAGCAGCUCCUCAAGAAACGAGGAUGAGGCAGAGCAUGCUCUGCAGUGGGCUGAGAUCCAAAGAUUACCUAGUUUCAAACAACUGAGAUCAUCUCUGGUCGAUGAAGAAGGGGAUGAUGUGGAGAAAGGGAAAAGGGUCGUUGAUGUCACCAAGCUUGGAGCCAUGGAACGUCGUCUGAUGAUUGAGAAGCUGAUCAAACACAUUGAGAAUGACAAUCUCAAGCUGCUCAAGAAAAUUAGAAGAAGAAUAGACAGGUAUAUGUGAAAACAAAGAAACAAACCUUGUGAAUCUUGAACUGAGUUGUUACUUUGCAGGGUUGGUGUGGAGCUUCCAAGCAUAGAGGUGAGGUAUAAGCAUCUAAGUGUUGAAGCAGAAUGUGAGGUCGUUGAAGGGAAGGCGCUUCCAACUUUAUGGAAUUCUUUGAAGCACAUUUUCUUAGUGAGUAUACUUGAGAAUAUAAUGCAUUUUGCCAGUAGGUAGUAAAUUGUUGUGAACAAACGCGAAUUAACUUCAAAGAAAACAAAAAAAACUUGAAAAGAACAAAGCACGAUUGAGGCAAAUAUCAUUUUAAAAUUUGUAUAUUGAUUAUGUGAAUAAUUAAAUCUACAACAACUUAGACAGUUGUUAACAUAACUAGUAUUGAACUAUACUUUUUUCUUCUUUAGGAGUUGGUAAAGCUGAGUGGUGUAAGAACACAUGAAGCCAAGAUAAGCAUACUUAACGAUGUUAGCGGCAACAUUAACCCUGGAAGGUAGCUUUUGAUCCAAGCUUUGAGUUAGUGUGUAAUGCACGCAACUAAUGCUCUCUUCUUGUUGCUCCAAGGUUAACACUGCUGCUUGGUCCUCCUGGAUGUGGAAAAACUACUCUGCUCAAGGCUUUGUCCGGAAACUUGGACAAGAAUCUAAAGGUUUUCAGACUUUGUUUCAAUCUGAUUCUCAUGAUGCAGAUGUGUAAACCACAGAACUCUUUUGUUUUCCACAGAUUUCUGGUGAAAUCUCUUACAAUGGACACGGUCUAAACGAGUUUGUUCCUCAGAAGACAUCCGCUUACAUAAGCCAACACGAUCUGCACAUUGCGGAGAUGACUGUUAGGGAGACAAUAGACUUCUCAGCUCGUUGUCAAGGUGUUGGUAGUCGAACAGGUAAGAUGUCUUCUGAAGCAUCCGCUAAACUAUUUGCUGAAACAGAUAUAUCAAUUUUCUCUGUACCAAUGUUCAAAAAGUUGUUUGGCUAUAACUAUGCAUUUUAUAGAGGACUACCGAUUAGAUUGAUUAUUCGGGGCAGUGCUAACGAAAUAUUGAUUUGUUUUAUAUAUUUUUUACAUUUUUAUAUGAUAUUUUUUGGCUUUAAUUAUAAAACUAUUUUGAUGAAUUGUAAAAAUUAAAUAUACAAAAUAAAACAAAUUAGAAAAAUCUGUGGAUUUGCACUAACAUAAUUGGUUAAUUUAGAUUGAUUUAAACCAAUUUUAACUGAUUUAGAACAAUUCAAACCGAUUUGAAUCAUGCUCUAUACUAUUGGCUGAAACAGAUAUUAUGAUGGAGGUCAGUAAAAGAGAAAAGGAUGGUGGAAUCAUUCCUGACCCUGACGUAGAUGCUUACAUGAAGGUCCCAUUCCAUAAGCUAAUCUUUUAAGAGGGAUGAUUAUAAAACCUUUUGUUAAUCCCAUUGUGCAGGCUAUAUCGGUUAAUGGACUUAAAAGAAGUCUACAAACAGAUUACAUCUUGAAGGUAAUUUCUCUGACAACAACUCAGACUUGUAAUCCUUGUUGAUUAGCUUCUUGAUUAUGUCAUGUAUUUGCAAUUUGCAUUUCUUUUUCUUCAGAUCCUAGGGCUUGACAUAUGUGCAGAAACAUUGGUUGGUAAUGCCAUGAAAAGAGGCAUAUCUGGUGGUCAAAAGAAGCGUCUUACUACAGGAGAGAUGAUCGUUGGUCCAACAAAAGCUCUGUUUAUGGAUGAAAUCACAAACGGCUUAGACAGCUCCACAGCGUUUCAGAUAGUUAAGUCACUUCAGCAGCUGGCUCACAUCACCGACGCAACUGUGUUUGUUUCCCUUCUUCAGCCUGCUCCAGAGUCAUAUGAUCUCUUUGACGAUAUUGUCUUGAUGGCUGAAGGAAAAAUAGUUUAUCAUGGUCCAAGAGGCGAGGUCUUGAGGUUCUUUGAAGAGUGUGGGUUUAGAUGCCCAGAGAGGAAAGGUGUUGCAGACUUUCUACAAGAGGUAAGAAGCCAAGUUUAUGUUCCUUGACACUUACGUUUUGUUCUGAGUUGUUUUUGUUUUGCAGGUUAUAUCUAGGAAGGACCAAGGACAGUACUGGCUGCACCAGGACAUACCCUAUACCUUUCUCUCAGUAGACGCGUUGUCCAGGAGAUUCAAGGAGUUAGAGAUUGGGAGAAAGAUUGAGGAUGCUCUCUCUAAGCCCUAUGAUAAUUCAAAAACCCACAAGGAUGCUCUCUCUUUCAGUGACUAUUCUCUUCCAAAGUGGGAGCUGUUCAGAGCAUGCAUCUCAAGAGAGUUUCUAUUAAUGAAGAGAAACUCUUUCGUCUACCUCUUCAAGACGUUUCAGGUUACAUUCUUCGUUCCUUGUGUCUUCUUUCAAUGUUCUAGGGUUAGGUCUAAAGAAACCCUUCUUGCCCUUUAUGUUUUGCAGCUUGUUCUGUCAGCAAUCCUCACUAUGACAGUUUUUAUUAGAACACGUAUGGGUGUAGAUAUCAUUCAUGGAAACUCUUACAUGAGUUGUCUCUUUUUCGCAACCGUUGUGCUUUUGGUGGAUGGUUUGCCAGAGCUGUCUAUGACUGUUCAACGUCUUGCCGUGUUCUACAAGCAAAAGCAACUUUGUUUCUAUCCAGCUUGGGCUUAUGCAAUCCCUGCAACCGUGUUAAAGAUCCCUCUCUCUUUCUUCGAAUCUCUCGUUUGGACUUGCCUUACUUACUACGUCAUUGGAUACACUCCUGAAGUCUCUAGGUAAGAAGAACUCUAUAACCAUCUCUUGCUUGCUCCCUACUCAAACGAUUAUGGAAAGUAAUGGUUACUUGGUGUUUUUAGGUUCUUACGUCAGUUCAUGAUGCUCUUUGCUGUUCACUUCACAUCCAUAUCCAUAUUCCGAUGUAUAGCUGCAAUCUUUCAGACAGGAGUUGCUUCAAUGGCAGCUGGUAGUUUCGCCGUAUUAAUCACCUUUGUGUUCGCCGGUUUCGCCAUCCCAUACAGUAAGACUUUUGCACUCUUUCUUCAUUUCAGUCUUGUUCCAAACUUCCAUCAAAACAUGACCAGGGCCGGAUCUAGGCACAGCCCAAUAAAACAUCGGUCUCGGUCCCUAAAUUUUUUGAAAUUUUUAGUACGAAUAAACCCCUAAACUAUAGAAAAAAAAAAUUGUUUUACUAAGAUUUUUAAAUGUUUCAAGCUCCCAAAAUCUCAUAUCCGGCCCUGAACGUGACAUUGGUUUUGUUGCUGCAGCUGAUAUGCCAGGGUGGCUGAAAUGGGGAUUCUGGGUGAAUCCUAUAGGUUACGCAGAGAUUGGGCUCUCUGUAAACGAGUUUCUUGCUCCGAGAUGGCAGCAAGUAAGUAUCUCAUCUUUUUACAUACUUCUCUUCAUCAUUCUUACAAGACUAAUCAAGUUUUUCUUGUUAUGUUUUGUAGAUGCAACCAACGAAUGUUACAUUGGGGAGAACCAUACUUGAAAGCAGAGGACUGAACUAUGAUGAUUACAUGUACUGGGUCUCAUUAUGUGCCUUGCUGGGACAGACUCUCCUCUUCAAUACUAUUUUCACUCUAGCUUUGAGUUUCUUGAAAUGUAAGUUACAAAAUAUCGAAAAAUAUGCCAUGGACUAAAGCAUAAACUGAAGAGCUUCUUUUUUAACAGCUCCCACUACAUCUCGCGCUAUGAUCUCCAAAGACAAGCUCUCUGAGCUGCAAGGAACAAAAGAUUCAUCACUCAAUAAGAACAAGAAGGCAAUAGAUUACACAGAAGAUUCAGGUGAAACAUAUAUGUCUUUCUUGUCAUACAAGCAAACUCUUUAUUCUCAGUUUAGCUUUAUUGACCUAAUUCAUUCAGCAGGGAAGAUGGCCUUACCUUUUAAGCCUCUCACCAUAACAUUUCAAGAUUUGAACUACUACGUUGACGUUCCUGCGGUAAAAUCUUCUCCUCCCCAUCCUUGGAUCUUAACCAUCUUCAUAUGCAAACAUGAUCAUCAAAGGACGUUUUGACUAAUCUUAGGAGAUGAGAGUUCAAGGAUACAAUGAGAAGAAACUGCAGCUUCUCUCAGAUAUCACCGGAGCUUUCAGACCAGGCGUUCUAACAGCGUUGAUGGGGAUCAGUGGAGCCGGAAAAACAACUCUACUCGACGUUCUCGCCGGAAGAAAAACAAGCGGAUACAUCGAAGGAGAGAUCAGAAUCAACGGAUACUUUAAAGUCCAAAAAACCUUCGCAAGAGUCUCAGGCUACUGCGAGCAAACAGAUAUACACUCACCAAACAUCACCGUCGAGGAGUCUCUAAUCUACUCAGCUUGGCUCCGUCUAGUUCCAGAAAUAGAUCACAAAACCAAAAUAGUAAGCCGGCCCUAGUGAUUCUAAAAAAGGCAAGAAUGACCUAGAAAGUAACUUGACUGAAAAGAAACUCGUUGCAGAGAUUCGUGAAGGAAGUUCUUGAGACGAUAGAGCUGGAGGAGAUCAAGGACGCGAUGGUGGGAGUCCCCGGCCAGAGCGGGCUGUCGACGGAGCAGAGGAAGAGGUUGACGGUGGCGGUGGAGUUGGUGGCGAAUCCUUCGAUCAUAUUCAUGGACGAGCCGACGACGGGGCUGGACGCAAGAGCAGCAGCCAUUGUGAUGAGAGCUGUGAAGAACGUUGCGGAGACUGGACGUACCAUUGUGUGCACUAUUCAUCAGCCUAGUAUCGAUAUUUUUGAAGCCUUCGACGAGGUACAUAUGUUUUUCAAAUAUGAAAAGUAUUUAUAGUGGUUUUGUUUUAAAAGAAUACUCUCACAUGUAUUAUAUUAACAUUUUAUCCAAAAGUAGAUAUAAGAGAUUUUUUUUCUUCAAAAUAGCCUUUAUCAAAAAUUUGAAAAUUAUAGAAUAAUUGAGUUUAGGGUUUAAAAGGGAUGGGUGAGAUUAGGUUUUAUAAAUUAAAGUAACUUAAUUUUUUUUAUUUAAAUGAGUGUGUUUUGAAGAUCUGUUAGUGUUAUAUUUGUGAUAAACUUUAAAAGUGCUAUUUUGGAGUUUUGACUAUUUUGUGGAUAAUUAAGAAGAAAUUUCUUAUAACAUAUUGUUUUUAUUACAUGUUCAGUUGGUACUUCUGAAGAGAGGAGGUCGCAUGAUUUACACUGGACCACUUGGACAACAUUCUUCUCAUGUCAUACAGUAUUUUGAGGUUAGCGUGUUAUACAAGAAAAUGAGCCAGUUUAGUUUCUAUGACUUUUUCAAUGUUUUAACGAAAUAAUUAACUAUGUAUAUUUUUGUUAUUUGGGGUUAAUGAACAGAGUAUCUCUGGAGUUGCUAAGAUUAAAGACAACUACAAUCCAGCAACAUGGAUGCUAGAGGUCACUUCACAGUCUGUAGAGAUUGAACUCAACAUGGAUUUUGCAAAAAUCUACAAAGAAUCUGCUCUCUACAAGUGAGCUGAAUAUCUCAAAAACAACUGAAACCUUGUCAUUUAUUACGAGCUCAUGUGUUUUCUCUGUAGCAGGAGCAACUAUGAGCUUGCUCAGGAGCUGAGCAAACCGGAUCCCGGGUCAAGCGAUUUACAUUUCGAGAGAACUUUUGCGCAGAGCUGGUGGGAACAGUUCAAAUCUUGUCUAUGGAAGAUGAGCUUGUCUUACUGGAGAAGCCCUGCUUACAACUUGAUGCGAAUCUUUCACACUUUAGUCUCUUCUUUGAUCUUUGGUUUACUCUUCUGGAAGCAAGGUCAAAAGAUGUAAGUUAGUUGCAUAAAAUACAUUCAAAUCAUCAUUAGAGCAUGUUCAUUAGUGAGACCCUUAAGUGUCUCUUAAGUGGGGUUUAAUAAUUUUUUAACUAUUAAAUUUAAUAUAAGAGAUUUUGUUAAGAAACACUUAAUUAUAGUGGUUUAUUGGUGGUUUCUUAAUUAAGGUGCUUAACAAAUAAAAAAAUAUUAAACUUUUUUUAAACAUAAAAUUUUAAACAAAGAUUAAUUUUAUUUAUUAAAUAAAACAAAGUCAAACAUAACAUUUUAAACAUAGAUUUUAAAAUAAAAAAAAUUAAAACAUUAAAACAAAGAUUACUAAAAUAAACAAUACUAAUUUUAAAGCGGCAUCCAAGUUCAGUUGUUGUGUUGAUCACGUCCAAAUUUAUGCCAUAUAUGUUCAACCAAAUCACCUUUCAGUUGUUGAUGCGCUUGUCUAUCACGAAUUCUUGUUCGAACACCCAUCUGAUUGGCGAUAUUUGUAGGGAUAUCUGUAGAAUAUGUUAAAUCUACAUAUGAACUUCUGCUGCCUUCGCCUUGUUGGAAUCCCGAGACAUCAAACUAACUGCAUUCAUCCCGUUCGUUUUCUACUAUCAUAUUAUGGAGUAUGAUACAUGCUCUCAUAAUCUUCCCAAUCUUGACUUUAUCCCAACAAAGUGCUGGAUUUUUAACAAUGGCAAAUCGAGCUUGCAAGACUCCGAAAGCACGCUCGACAUCUUUUCGGGCAGCUUCUUGAUGUUGAGCAAAUAAAACUGCUUUCGGCCCUUGUGGAAGUGAAAUAGAUUGGAUGAAAGUUGCCUAUUUCGGAUAAAUUCUAUCGAUCAGAUAGUAAGCCAAAUCAUACUCUUUUCCGUUGACUGAGAAAUUCACUUGCGGGGCUUGACCAUUUAUGAUGUCAUCAAAAACAGGUGAGCGAUCUAGAACAUUAAUAUCAUUUAAGGUACCUGGAGGUCCAAAAAACGUAUGCCAUAUCCAGAGAUCAUAUGAAGCAACCGCCUCUAAAACUAUUGUGGGUUUCCCCGAACCACGAGAAUAUUGCCCUUUCCAAGUGGUGGGACAAUUCUUCCACUCCCAAUGCAUACAAUCGAUGCUUCCUAUCAUCCCGGGAAAUCCACGAACCUCUCCAAUAUAAAGUAGACGUUGAAGGUCAUCCGGUGUUGGUCUUCUUAGGUACUCAUCGCCGAACAAAUUUAUGAUUGCUUCCACAAAAUUUUCCACACAUAACCGAACAGUGGUUGCACCGAGCCUGAGGUAUUCGUCGACCGCAUCAAGCGCAGAACCAUAUGCCAACACACGAAUAGCUGCUGUACACUUUUGAAGCGGGGAGAGACCUUGCCUUCCGGUAACAUCCUUCUUCUGACGAAAGAAUUGGACUUCGUUGGAGAGGCGAUCAACAAUAUACAUGAACAAAGGCUUGUUCAUUCUAAAUCGACGUCGGAAUAGAUUUGCUGGAUAUGUCGGCGCGUCACUGAAAUAAUCAUUCCAUAACCGGAGAUGGCCUUCUUCACGAUUUCUUUCAAUAAAAACUCUCUUUUUCUUUUUCUUCCUUUGAUCUUGUUGAUCACCAUAAACAUUGCACAAAUUCUCAAAUGUUUGUUCGAAAGUCUGAUCAAAAUAUUUAUCGAACAUUUCAUCAAAUGACUCAUCCAAAUCAAAUGACUCAUCCGAGAUGUGAUUUGAAGACGAAGCCAUGAAAGACUUGAUUUCGAAAAUUUAAGAAUGGUGAGUGUGUGAACGUGAGAUGAAAAAGAGAAGGAAGAGAGAACAAAGAGAACCGAGAGAAUGAGAACGUAGAGAAUUGUGAGUAUGAUCAGUUUUUAUUUUACAAAGAGAAUGAAGAACCGAGAGAAGAACAUGAGACUAUAGAGAUAGAGAAUGGUAAGAGAGAAUGGUGAUUUCUUUACGCUCUCAGCACAAACAUUUUAUAACCGUCACCGUUAGAGAGAGAGAGCUCGCCGUUGUCCAUCGUCGACGAGAGAAACCCAUAGAAACGUCGACAAGCUCAACGGAGAGGGAGAGAGAGGAAACGCCGUUUCGUCGACGAGAUCACCGAGACAGAGAGAGAGAGAGAGAGAGGAAUCACCUUUUCGUCGAGGAGAGCACCGACAGAGAGAGAAAGAGCUCGCCGUUGUCCAUCGUCGACGAGAGAAACCAAUAGAGACGUCGACGAGCUCAACGGAGAGGGAGAGAGAGGAAACGCUGUUUCGUCGACGAGAUCACCGAGACAGAGAGGGAGAGAGAGAGGAAUCGCCUUUUCGUCGAGGAGAGCACCGACAGAGAGAGAAAGAGCUCGCCGUUAUCCAUCGUCGACGAGGAAUAUCCAUAGAGACGUCGACGAGCUCAACGGAGAGGGAGAGAGGAAUCGCCGUUGUCGUCACUCUUGCGGAGCAACCGAGAAGAGAAAGGAAAGAGAGAAAGAAACAAGAACGACUUCACCGUUCGGAGAGCCAAUAACGACGUGACACGUCGCCCAAAUUACCGUGUCUUCGAGCACUUAAUUAGGGGACGUCCCUUGGCUUUAUUUCGUGUUUUCCAUUUUUUUUUAUGAUUAAUUAAGUUAAGGGACAUGCUUAAGAGCUGCCUUUGAACAUGCUCUUACAUUCCUAGUAAAGAACUGUCUCACACAUUAGGAAAGUACUAUUUUAUUUCAAAAAUAGCACACAAGAAUAUUUUUUUCCAAAAGAGUAUUAACUAAAAGUAUAUGGGUGUGGAUUUAGUGAUUAUGAUUUAGGGUUUAAUAUUUAGAGAGUGGAGUUAGGGUAAGAGUUUAGGAUACAGAGUAAUUUAGUCAAUUUAAUCUUUAACUAAUUAUAGUUUGAGAAUUUUUCUCUUAUGUUCUAUUUUUGUCAUAAUUGUUUGUAUUUUUUUUUUUUUGGCAGAGAUACUCAACAGAACUUGUUCACAGUUCUUGGAGCCAUCUAUGGCCUUGUGAUAUUCUUGGGGGUAAACAACUGCACUUCAGCUUUACAGUAUUUUGAGACAGAGCGUAACGUUAUGUACCGCGAAAGAUUCGCUGGAAUGUACUCUGCCUUUGCCUUUGCACUGGCUCAGGUUGUGACCGAGAUUCCUUACAUUUUCAUCCAAAGCGCAGAGUUUGUGAUCAUAAUAUAUCCUAUGAUGGGUUUAUACGGAUCUGCCUAUAAAGUCUUUUGGAGUCUCUACUCAAUGUUCUGCAACUUACUCUCCUUCAACUACUUAGCAUUGUUCCUCAUCUCCAUCACUCCAAACUUCAUGCUCGCAGCUAUUCUCCAGUCUCUUUUCUUCGUUGCUUUCAACCUUUUUGCUGGAUUCUUGAUUCCACUACCGGUAAGUUCUUUUUGUAACAAGUCAUUAUAUACCAUUAUCAUCAUCGUUGAUCUUUACCUAUAGUUAAUAGUGUUUUUCCUUGAUGUUGAAACAAUGCAGCAAAUACCAAAGUGGUGGGUGUGGCUUUACUAUCUAACACCUCCCUCUUGGAGUCUCAAUGUGUUUUUCUCGUCUCAGUACGGUGAUAUUCAUCAAGAGAUCAAUGCAUUUGGAGAAACCACGACCGUGGCGAGAUUCUUAGAGGACUAUUUUGGAUUCCAUUAUGAUCGUUUGAUGACUUCAGCCAUUAUUCUCAUAGCGUUUCCAGUUGCAUUGGCUUCUAUGUUUGCUUUCUUUGUUGCCAAACUCAACUUUCAGAAACGAUGAUCCAUCACACACCAACCAAAGGUUUGAAACACCAAAGGGUAGUUUACAAAUUACUGUAUGGACAUGCACGUAUUCGUUGUCACACUAUUUGUAAACACUAAACAAAUGCAAAAUUUAUUUAUAAAAUCAUAAGAAAGUUGGAUAUACUCUAAUGCAUCAAAAUAAAUAGGUCUACAACAUAAUAGUAACUCUCUUAUUUUUUUACCAUAGAGAAAUGAUCUACGGCUGAAUACUUCAAAUAUUAAUUAGUAUACUGCUUCAUGCAAUUGAAAUGAAUAGUAAAGUAUACUGCUUCCUUUAUUCAGGCACAUCAUAAUUUUCAAGAAGAAACGUCAUUUUCUUUCUUUGAUCACAAAAGACACAAGAAGAAAGAGACAUGUGUGUGUCUUGUCGUCCUCCCCAUCUCUACUAACACUUUGAAUUUAAUACUGUCAAACUCAAAGGUCUCCUAAAGCCUAAUUAAUCCCUUUAUGAUCACAUGCCCUUCUCCUUCCUCUCUCUCUCUCCAUUCUCCUAGUACCCAUCAAGAACUUCCACAAAAGUAUUAAACUGUAGCUUCAGGAUCCAACCUCAGAGAAACGGUUCUCAAUCAAGGUUAUUUGAGUAUUGGAUAUUCUUGAUUCUUGAACUCAGGAAAAGUCAUUACUAGCCUGUGAUUCUGCUUCAUGACUUGAGGUUGAAGCAACAACACUUUCUUCACCAGAAGAAACAUCUUUGAUCUUUGAACUUAACUCUUCUUUUUCUUCUUCCACGGAGGCAACAUUUUCAGUUUCUUGAUCAAUGUUUUCUUCCUCAACAAAUCCAUUUCCAUGAGUUUCUUUUUCCUCUCCUUCUUCCUUGGAAGCUGAGGUGGAAACCGAUGAUAAACAAGAAACUUCAGAUGAACUCAACUGCUCUGAUCCUUCAGAACUGCGAGACCCUUUUAUGGAUUCAAGCUUUUUCAUCAGAAACUUUAGUCUCUUCUCUGCUUUCUCCCUUAAUCUGAUCUCUUCUUUCAGAUUUUUCUCCAGCUCUUCCAUCUGUUUCCAAGAGAUUAAAGGUUUUCUUUGAAACAAAAAUCAGCUUAUUACCAAACAAAGAUUAAAAAAAAUAAAAAUAACAGAGCAAAUGAAUUUACAAGUAACAAGAAUGACUCUUUUCUUGGUUGUUGAUUAAACCCAAAUCUUCAAAAAAGUAGUGAGAAAAAGGCAUUUCUUAAACAAGAAUGAUGAUACUAAGGAUUUUAUGAAACUUACCUUUCUGGUAAUGAGGUCUGCUUCAUCUUUUACAGACCUUGAAACUUGCCUCUCUGCAAGCAGUCUCCCUCUUAGACACUCCACAGUUCUCAGAUUUCCCUUCUCUUCUCCUUCCUCCAUCUUCUUACUUGCAAAAUUUGUUCUUAAACAAAAAAAAAGAAGAUAAAAAUCAAUUCCUCAUAUACACUCUCUACAUAGAACUUUCUUAAAAUCACACAAUACGACAUAUACAUGUAUAUAAAGAGAAAGAGAAACCUGCAUUUCGUGUUGUAAUUGAAGGGAUCAAUUGUCAUACUGUUCUUUAUAUAUUCAAAAACCAGAACCAGAUUGGUAAAAGCUUGUAAAGCUCAACUUCUCACCUAACUGCAAAAAGGGUAAACUAAAAAUAAUAAGACAGUUAAGACCAAUGUGUUGUUAGAUUGAUGUCACUAUGAUUUACAUUUAUUGUUCAUUCAGUAAGAGGAACAUAUCAACAUCAUAUCUUAAAAACCAACUUACCACGACACAGUCGACACUCUUCUUUAACAAAAAAAAAAAAAAAAUCUCAAGUUCAAAUAGUAAAACAGAUCCAGUUUCAAAUUCAAACCCCCUCACUUGGUAGAGAAGAGUGAAAUGAACUUAAAACCACAAAAGUUUUGAAGUUCUCCUGAAAAGAAGAACAGAAUCUGUGGUGUAGGGACAUGUUGUAAGCAAAACGACAGUGUGGGAUUGGACUUUUGUUACCUUCUCGUGAGUUGGUUGGUAACUCUCCCACUUCAAGACCUUUUUUAUGGUUAAUAAAUUUAACUUCUUACUACAAGGUUAGUUUUAUAUUAUAUGAUACCGCAAAUAUGCAUGUGAACAAGAGGAGUCAUCCUAUUUGUUAAUAUUAAACCAUAUUGCUAUACAAUUUUAGUUUUACCAAGUGUCACAGAUCCCUUCGUCAACAAUAUCACAACAAUACAAAAACAACAUUUCUUGGCCACACAGAAAGUUAAUGCUCCCAAGUCCCAACCUCUCGCUAUAAUUUUACUAAAUAGUUUGUGUUAAUUUUCUUUUUCAAAUUAGAUAAUUAGUUACCAACACGCAAAGAAAACAUUCGAGUGAUUAAGAGCUCACUUGUACUUCACUCAAAGAUCAAAGUAAUUACCAUAACCCUUUUAAUCAAACUAUACUUAUUUUGUGAAGCAACCUAAUGAAUAUAUUCUUGUUCUUAUUAGGAACCCCGCCACUUCAAUCCAAGCCACUUAGUAACUCUCAAGUUAUAGCGAGCUUGGGUAUGAUCUUACCGAUCAUUCAAAGUUAUGUUCACUGACAACAAUAAAAACUACAUAUCAUGAAAAGCAAAAUCAUUACACAUAAACUCUUUUAGAAGCCCCACAAGAAACCCUUUUGAACUCAUUCGACUUCACGGCAAGAAAAUCAAAAAGCUUCAUCAAGCUCUUGUUUCAUGAUACACUCCUUGUCACUCAUCGACUCAACCACACCCUCUAUCAUCUCAUACAUCUCGUUGCUUCUCUCACACGAACCAUCUUUCGCAAUGAAACUUCGUAAUCCUUUACCAGUAUCGAUCCAGCUAGUUCCAGGGAUUUUCUUCAAUCCGAUUUUUUUCAUCUUAUCCCUUACCAUCUCAGCUUCUUCCCAUCUCCCUGCUUGAGUGCAUAGAUUCGCCAUGAUAGUGUAACUCCCUGUAUUUUCUGGUUACAAAAAUAGUAAUACUUAUAUAUAAAAAUUAAUUUUAUUUAAUAUAUUUUCAUUUUUAUAAUAGUAUAUAUAAAUUUNNNNNNNNNNNNNNNNNNNNNNNNNNNNNNNNNNNNNNNNNNNNNNNNNNNNNNNNNNNNNNNNNNNNNNNNNNNNNNNNNNNNNNNNNNNNNNNNNNNNUAUCAUUUUCGUUAAUGUAAUAGGAGGGCCAACCCAAACAGAGAUUGUCAUGAGCGAGAUAGACACACCAGAGAGCUUUCAGCUUAUGGAGUUUGGAGUUAUUUUCGAGGCGACGAAUCACUUUUCCGAAAGCAACAAAGUCGGACAAGGUGGUUUUGGUCCAGUUUACAAGGUAUUUUAAUUUCUCUAGCUAUUUGGACCGAAUCAAAUUAAACUUGAAUCGGCCGGUGACUUGUCUUUCAUUCAACUAAAAAACUAAUAAUAAUAAGGGAAAAUGUGAUGGUAUUGCAGGGAACCUUGCCUGAUGGAAACGAGAUCGCAGUAAAAAGAUUGAAAGCGAGAUCAUCUCAGGGGAUGGCAGAGUUCCGAAAUGAAGUGACUCUGAUUUUACGUGUACUACACGUGAACCUCGUCCGACUUCUAGGCUGUUGCAUCCAUGGAUACGAUAGACUAUUGGUCUACGAGUUCCUGGAGAAUUCUAGCCUCAGCAGCUAUAUCUUCAGUUACUCUCACUCUCUCUCUCUCUAUUCUAGAAUUUACUUGUUAUUUUGUAAACUUUAAACUUGAUUCGUUUUGUUUUUGAUUGAUUACCUCAGAUCAAACUAGAAGCCCGCUCCUAAACUGGGAGCAUAGGUUCGAUAUAAUGAAAGGUAUUGCUGAAGGAUUGUGCUACCUCCACAACUUCACAAGCCCACCGAUACUUCACCGCGACCUGAAACCAAGUAAUGUGCUUCUAGGCAGAGACAUGAUCCCAAAAAUCUCAGAUUUUGGGCUGGCUCAGAUGAUGGAAACUGGCACCACAGAAGCUGCAAUGGAAACAGCAGUAGGAACUUAGUAAGCAUCAACAAAUUGUUAAAACUUUCUUCUUCUUCUUUUUUUUUUUUUCACUAAAACAAAAUCACAAUCAAUUAAUUAAAUCCUCUUUUGUUUGUUUUUUGUGCAGCGGCUACAUGUCUGAAGAAUAUGCGAAAGAUAAUAUCAUGUCCCAGAAAUCAGAUGUCUUCAGUUAUGGAGUAGUGUUGUUAGAGAUUCUUACUGGAAGGAGAAAUCAUGAGUAUUGUAUUGCAAAUCCAGGAGAUAGUCUUCUCGACUUCGUAAGUUUAAUUUUUCUUUGUAUUCUUAAAAUUUUAAAGAAAAUUUAUAUUUUAGAGUUUUUUAAAAAGGUUUGGAGGCGAUGGAAGGAUGGUACUGGAUUGGAGGUCGUGGAUUCGAGCUUCCAUGAUGAUUCAUUUAUAGAAGACCAGGUUUUACGAUCAAUGAAGAUUGGUCUAUCCUGUGUUCAACAAAAUAUGCACGAUAGGCCUAGUACAAGGACCAUUGUGGUUAUGUUUGAAAAUGGCCCACGAUCAGAAAUUCUAGAUCCGACGAGACCAAACUAUAAUCUCACAAGAGCUGAUUCAUCUUCUUCUCCAGUUACCGUUACCGACCAAUCAGUCACUAUUAACGAGGCCACUUUGUCAUGCACUGACGCCAGGUGAUGUUUUUAUGUAGUGCGUUUUUCUACUAGUUUACUUAAAAAAAAAAAAAUUUGAACUAUCAUUCCUAUGUUAUGUUUAAUUUCAUGUGUUUUUUCUUCUAGUUUACUCUUUGAAAAAAUAACUACUAUUAUUCAUAUGUAAUGUUUUUAGUUGUUUGGGUCUCAGUGCGGGAGACUGAUACUUUAAUGGUUUAUCUCUUUUGCUAUGCACUUAAUGACAACGAACAUAAUAUCUCGAUAUAAUAAUUAACAACUAGGAUGAGACAAAACCAAAACCAAAACCAAAGGCAACAAGUUACAAGACAAACUGUUCAAAGUCAAUCUAAUCACAAAGAUAAACCCAGUUACAUAAUAUCCCACCUAUUUUUGUUUUUUAGCUGGUGUUUGAUCGAUGUUCUUCACCUGCAAGCAAAAAUGUGGCUUUAGCUGCUUCCUCUUUUGGUGUCUGAAAUGCUUUAAGAACAGAGAGAGAGAGAGGGAGAGCAAAAUUGUUUUACUGGGCCGCAUUCUAAAUAGUACGGCUUUGGUAAUUAUGUAAACAUAUCUUAUACCGAGACAAAUAAGAAUUAAAUUAAGUUAUCCUAUCAAUUAAUUUCAAAACCUCCACUUAGUCUAAUGAUUAACGGAAUCAUUUGGUUAGAAUAAUUAUUUAGCCAUAAACACCAAAAUCACAUGGAACAUAAGCUCAAUUACCUGUUUGGUGCCUUCAACAGAAGAAGUACGACCCCAUCUCUCAGGGGUCCCAAAGUAUGCUACUGUUGAAAGCAAAGCUUGAUAUAUGAACCGGAGGCUUUAUCUCUGUCUUGUUAUUAAUUUUUCUCAAAUGCCACCCCAAAACUUGUGAAGAUUCACAAACCGGCCUCUCUACUAUCACUCGCUUCCUAUUAGCUGAUACCAAUAUGUAUACAUUGUUUAGCCCCGCAAAAUGGACUAUCCCGCUUUGUUUGUGAUGCUCAAUGUGUCUCAACGCUAGGUUCCUUUGAUGAUCAAGCUCAAAUUCAAAGCUCGUGAAGUUUUCUUUGAAGACUAUACGUCUAUACAUUAAACCAGUUUUUCUUAACAUUGUUGGUGAAGAGUUUUCUUCAGCAUCGGAGUGUUUCUCCACGACUAUCCACAAUAAAGGAGGUGGAACUAGCCUCAAAGUAUUGGCCAUUCUCCUAAGGAGCACAAUUUUGUAACGAUCUUUCGUCAUUACCCAGAGUUACAACAAUCACUAGACCUCUUGGUGCAACUUCUUCUUCUUCUGUCUUGGAGAGUGAUCUGGUUUCUUGUUCAGGUUCUUGUGACUUCAAAGGUGCUGGGGCCUGACCUUGGGAACUGUUCAAUGCUUUAUCAACGAGAGGAUUGUGUGUAUAGGUAGAGUUCUCAAAAGGUUGGGAAGGAAUCUGAGAUUUAGUGGUAGUAGAGGGGGUGGUUUCGAAAUUAUAGAAAAGUGAAGCCUUACCAGCAGGAGCAAAGCCAGUGAUGAAACACAUUACAAAACAUAGAGAGAAAUGGAUCACAGCUUUCUUCCAUACCUGAGUUUUCUUCUUUGAUCUCUCCAGAGAUCCCAUCAGGAUCCAACCCUAAGAAGAAGUUUUUCUUAAUUAAGUGAUUUUCCUUUUAUUUUUUGGGAAGAACAAUCUAGUUUGAAGAGUAUGAAAUAUAAGGGCUUUUAUGACAUUUGUAUAGUUUUUGUCUUUAUAUUGUUGGUAAAUGAUUAAAACCGGCGAGCUACGUAGGAGUACGUUCUCUUUGAUUGAUUGCGUGUGUUGGUUGUGUUCUGCAACAACUUGUUGGGAUCAUUGGAACUCACUAGCUAGCUGAAACAUGUUUGGGAAAUAUAAGAAAAUUACUGUUAAUAUAGCAAAUAUAUUAAAAUUAAACUUUGCUUAUUAAUGACUCUUAAUGCAAGUAAUUAAGUAUUAUUUUAGUUGUUGUUGAUGACUGAUGAGUAAGGUUAUGAUCAAGAUAGGAACUUUUGAGAGUACCUAAUAUAGAGGAUAGUAGUCUUCAAAAAGUGUGAAGUGAUGAAACUUGAAGUUGAAAGAGACAAUCCAAAAAAUAAAUAUUAACAUGUCAUCGUGGUUUAUAUUAUGCACUUUAACAAAUGGAUAUCAUUUUUACCGUUAUAUCAAGCCAUGUAAAUACAUACCACCACAAACAAGUCGUUUUCUCAAGAAAGUUAGAAAAGAGAUCAAGCUGGACGAGGAGUGAGCCUAUCUUUGGCCGCCGUGUCUCCACGGUGGAGGCCAGAGGAGAUACGCAAGCAAGAAGAAGCCCCCCGAGAAACGCUCUGUUACUAACUCGGUGUUCUUGGAGCAAGAACAAGAAGAGACAAAGGAACCUCAUGAUGAUGACGUCAUUGUCGGAGAACCCAAGGUUGUGCAUUUAAUAUUCAGUUCAUUUAAUACAUCAGUCAAGUCACAUUUCCAAGAAAAUACUCCACUAACGAAGGCGUCUUUGUCUAUUUUUAAUUCGUUCCUUAACGCGUACGGAACGCGGCCCAAUAAAAUAAUUACUUUAAUUCUAUUUUAAGUCUCUGCUUCUCUACCUUCUUUCCUCUUUGUAAGAUCAGAGAGAGAGCGUUUGUUGAGAAGAUCUUAUUAGAAGGUGAAUAUCAAUCAGAACAUGGCGAAAGAAGACAACCACGAAGCUCAACGAUGCGAGUGCGAGGAUCAUGAGGAAUCGAGUCCUCUCUUGCAAGUUAACGAAAGCAAGAUCUGCUCAAAAGGGGACACCACCAAGACGGCGGAGGAAUAUGGCUGGACGGCGGAUGGAUUGCCGGUGAGCCAAGGGAGCGUGAUCGGCGAGCCGAUCGGGAGAAACCAAUGGAGUUCCGGUCUUUUUUCCUGUCUCGGCCGAAACGACGAGUUCUGCAGCAGCGAUCUCGAAGUUUGUGAGUCUUUAUGUUCUGUCUCAAUGAUUAGUGUCUGAAAUUUGGGAUUUUUUUGUUAAUGGGUUUCUUGAUUUGGUGGAGGAUGAAUUGUAAAGUUUUGAUUUUGAUGUGUUUUUCACUGUUGGUGAGUCUUGCUUGUGUUCUGUCUGACUGUCUCAAUGGUUAUUGUCGGAAAUUUUGGUUUUUUUUUUAUUUGGUAGAGAUUGAAUUGGAAAGUUUUGAUUUUGAUGUGUUUCACGGUUGGUGAGUCUUGUGUUCUGUCUCAAAUGAUUAUUGUCGGAAAUUUGAGGUAUUCCCUAAUGGGUUUCUUGAUUUGGUGGAGAUUGUAUUAGAAAGUUUUGAUUUUGAUGUGGUUCAUGGUUGGUGAAAAGACUCAAAUCUUUUACAUCUUAAUGGCUUCUUCUUUGUUAGGUCUCCUUGGAAGUGUGGCUCCAUGUGUGCUGUAUGGAAGCAAUGCAGAGAGGCUUGGGUCUGCUCCUGGAACGUUUUCGAAUCACUGCUUGACGUAUUUGGGGUUGUACUUUGUCGGCAACUCUCUAUUUGGAUGGAACUGCCUUGCUCCAUGGUUCUCUUAUUCUAGCCGCUCUGCCAUUCGCCGAAGGUUUAACCUUGAGGUAAUGAUCAAAUUAUCUGGUAUUUAAUCCGGAAAAAAACUGAAAAAUCUGUUUUUAUAUCUGAAUUAUCUGAAAUUAUCUGAGAAAAAGGAACCGAACCGAAAUUUUGUAUUAGUCAGUUUUUAACAUUGUUGCCCGAACCAAAAACGGAAAUAACCAAAACCGAACCAAAUUUCAAAUAAUCAAACGGUUCCUAUAUCUCUAGAACCGAAAAUCGAAAAAAAAAAAGAACUGGAAGUGAACGCCAAGCCUAGUUGUACUCUAAGAAAAGAGUCAAUCAACUCCUCUCUUUAUAUAUCUUCUUGGUUGUGUACCACUCUCUGAGUUUUAUAGGAGCCAUGGAGAGACAAGUCUUGUCUCAUAGGCACUCUAGUGUCUCUAGUUUUGGGCAUGUGUAUUACGAGAGUCUCCGUUGCAUUCCAUCUCGUGACCCUAUCUUUUGUUUUCUUUUGGUGUAAAAAACAGGGAAGCUUUGAGGCGAUGAACAGGUCGUGUGGUUGCUGCGGUAGCUGCAUAGAGGAUGAGAUGCAAAGGGAACAUAUGGAGACGACUUGUGACUUUGUGACGCAUGUCCUUUGCCAUACAUGUGCACUUUGCCAAGAAGGCCGUGAGAUCCGCAGGAAGGUUCUUCACCCGGGUUUCAAUGCUCAGUCCACUGUGGUUGUGCUUCCACCAAGUGAACAAACCAUGGGACGUAAGUAAGUGAAAAGCUUGCGUUGAGUCAUGUGUCCUAAAUAACAUUUGUAAUACACAAGGUGAACUAUGACGUUGUCUCUUGCUUGCUUUUGUCGCGUGUUCUUUUCUUUUUUUUGGUCUUUCUUCAGUGCAUGCAAAUGUAUGUAUAUCUUUAUUGUUACGUACUUGGUUUUGGAUAUGGUCUUGUAAUAUUCAAUAAAGUUUCGCAACUUGUAACUCUAUAAACGUGGAGGCAUUCCUUUCCGGCGGAACCUUCAUUGCUCAUAGCUCCAAACCAAAGUCUGUGAGAUCAGAUGUGGUAAAGAACGGUUCGGAGAUUCUAAUGAAAUGAAAGAUCUGUUUUUGGACCGGAGAGAUCAAGACAAAAGUGAUUGAUUGCAUUUAAUUUAUAAGACUUUUUAUAUCGCAACUUUGCGAGUCUUUAAUUGUUGCACUAGAGAUCCAUUGUAAUCAUUGUGGUUAAUUUGACUCCUUGAGUUUAUUAGUGUGCAUGUGAUAUGAUUUCUUUAGAUUUGGUUUUAAUAUACAUUUUGUGAUAAAAGGGUCAAGAUCUAUAGCUUAAUACUAUAAUUAAUGUUAAUUAGUACAUUUGACAUUUUCUUAUAGAAAUGAUUAAAUAGGUCUAUUGAUUAGACGCCAAACAAGACUGGCCAAAUUAAUCGCUGAUAAUUCAAAAGAAACCAGACGAAUUAUCAAAAGAUCUUCUAAUAAUGAAAUGAUUUGUACAAAGAGUCAAAAGGAGACACAUGGAGAAGUGCCCAACUCGUCUGGCAUGGCACCUCACUACUAAGCAAUCACGAUUUGGCUUGUGGAGUCAACGAGCUUAUGACAUUAGCUAGUUAAUUUCCCCCAAGUUGACAUCUACUUUUUAAACACAAUUUAUUUAUUACUUAUUAUACAAUUGUAGAUCUCAUCAUAUAUUUUUGAUAUGCGAUUUCUAGUAGUUUAUUGUAGACGACUGUUCUUUGUUUUCUCUUACUCUCUAAUCUGAAUCUCAUUGCAUGGUCGGCAACAUUUUUUACUUGGAACAUUUUACCAUCAAUAAUCGAAUUUUGAUAUCAUGUUAAUAAGUUCUAAAAACUUUAAUGUAUAACUUAACUUAUGUCCCUUAUACAUUACCUGUUAUUCCAUCACAUUUUGAUUUUGAAUUUGUAAGAAGUUUAUAUUUGUGUAUCAUAUAAGUUUAUGGUCUUGAAUCUAAUAGUUUUUGGUACUGUUAGUUCUAAAAUCAUUGACGAAUAUACCAAAAAAUGUGACAAGAGAUAUAUAAAAGUCCCAUCAAAUAAAUUUGGAUUGGUAGUUGUUUCGAAGUCACUCCCUAAUGUACCAAGAACAUAUCUUAAUCCAUCCCAGUUUUUGUAUCUCUUCUUAUUGACUCCAAACCAUUAACACACACACACACAUACAUACAUAUGAUAUAUGAUAUAUAUGGUUAUUAUCUUUCAUAGCAAACAUAAUCAGUUAGUUCACAUAACGACAAUCCUUCCUAAUCUCUCCUUGGUCACCGGUGAGAGGAUUGGUCUCGGACAAGAGCCUGAUAGCGCGUGAAAAUUGCUCAUGGAAGUAACCAUUGUCCGCAGCCAUCUUCGCCACAAAGGGUGCGGUCCUCGGAUCCGUGGCUAUCUCAUCAUCGAUGACAAGGAGUCCUUUAUGAGCCAUGAUGUUUUUGUAAUACAUAUUGUCCACAACCAUCGGUGUCUCAGGGUCGUUGCGGGAGUAUAAGACCUCUUUUGGGUUCGGAUUUGGAGUAGGGCAACGUUUUUUCAAGUAAAGGGCGUACGUAGGGUCGAGAGUCGGGUCAAUCGUUGGGUAUAGCCGGUGCACUAGGUUAACGCAGUGGACUCUACCCACUGAGUGUGCACCUACGGUAAUAAAAAUUGACCGAUCAAUAACAAUGACAGUUAUAUAUCUUUAUUAUCUUAACUAGUAAAUAAACUUUCCAAAAAAAAAUAUCAUAUGUAUUAUUUAAGUAUAUGGUUGAUAAAACUAUUUUAUUUUGAUUUUAUCAGAAAAUGAACCAAAAAUACCCAAAUUAUCUUCUAUUGAACCACCGGACCGUAUAAAAUUUGGUUUAAUUAACGGUGUAAAACGCACAUCUAUCCUAAAAUCUUGAACAAAUUCAAAAACCAAAAUGUCCAUCCUGGUUAGUGUUACCGUGCUGGCUCAAAUCUAUUGACCUAUGCAUUUAAAAGAUAGUUUCUACUCAGAUUUAUAACUCAGGUACCUAAGAGAGCAACGGUGGCUUCAACAUCGAUGCCGAUGGAGUUAAAGUUUGAGAGAACAGACGAGAGAGAGUCAUUGUGGUUAGGAACUAGAGCCUCAACAUCUCUCAAGUAGCUCCCUCUACUGUCUCUCCUUCCUGUCUUUAUCAUAUCUAUCUUUGGCCCUUUCAACUAUUCAUUUCACCAACCAAAAAAAAAACAUCUUAAUAAAAAUAUAAUUCCAAACUAAUUAAAUUAACCUUACAAUGCAUAUACUUACCAUGACAAUACCAUCUCUAGCAGAGAGAGCAACAAUAUCAGCGCAAGAGACUGUUCCAGGACAUUCUUUCUCGAGUGCAUCUUUGAUAGUCUUGAUAUACUUAAAGUUUCUCAUACCAAAACUCCUUGUUGACUUUUGCUCUGAUUCCACACCUCUUGCUGUCUCUAGUAGCAGUGACGCAUCACACGACUACAAAAAAAAAUACCCAUGAACAUAAAUAUUCACGAUGACUUUUUGGUAAUCAUGUUUUUAAAAAUAUUCACGAUGAUGAUGAUGCCAUGUGAUUAUAGAGUAAAUGUAAUUACCUUGACGACGCAGUCAUGGAAGAGAUUACGGAGCCAAGAUACGGCUGUGUUGCCGUGUUUGUAGUACAGCGUCUCCACUUGUUGUCUGAUUAUCUCUUCCGCUCUCGGACAACUCUCUCUGUAAUAAUUCAUCUUCAGUUCCGCAUUUCCUACAGUUUAGUUAAUCUUUAGAUUCGAUUUAAAAAAAAGUUAAUCUUUAGAUUAUUCGCUUUAUUUACGUAUGAGUGAUUACUAGCCAUUUUAUAAUAUAAUAUUUGUUGAAUUUUUACGGUGGAAAUUAGUUUACUAAAAAAAACCGUAGUUAUUUUGGUUUCAGCUAGCAAAAAUUAGAAAUAUAUUCUCGAGACAUGGAUACACGUGGCAUAAUGUGAUAAGAGAAAAGGGAAUAUAAAUUACCGAUAUGAAAGAUGGAAAAUAACUGUAAUAACAGGCAAAAGAAAGCCAAAAAGCAGAAGGGCAUCUUCACAAUGGCCAUCUUUUUCUCUCCUAUCUUUUUGUACUUUGUUGAUUGGUGUGUCUCUUUAUGUGUCCAAUGUAGGGUUAUAUAGAGAUUCAAGAGACUUGAGAAACUCUCUUUAAUCGUGUAAUAUAUAAUUAAGUAUUUUUAUUUCUUAUAGUCAUAGUGGUUGCCCAUGUUAAUUAUUCUUUUUUGAAAUUAUCAGGGGAUUUCUUAUUCUAGACGAAUAUUAAUAUUGAAGCUUGUAACCACUAGCUAUAUAUCUGAACUCAAUAGUUGUUGAACAUGUGAAUUCAGUGAGACGAGUUUUCCUAUUCUAUCCGAUGAUAAUACAAAAUUAAAUUAGUUCGGCUUUUCACUUCUUUUCACUUUUAAUUAGCCUUCCUCAUACAUGUUUCAUGUUCACAAGAUACAAAAGGAGGAGAUCUGUAAUAUAAAUUACGCUCUAACUUGUAACUAAUUGAUUGGAUUGGAUUCGAAUAAAUAAAAUCAAAAUGUAAAUGCUUGCGAUGAAUAUGUAUAUUACACAUCAACUUCAAGAUGACCGACUCAAUUAACUCCCAAUCAUGCUAAUCUAUAGGUAUUCAAUAUAUAGCAUACAAUAUUAAAUACGGUUUCACUUAUAUGAGUUCAUUCACUAAUAUAUGAGUAAAUUAUUAUUACCCGACUGCUGCAUAAAUUUUAUACCACCGAUUUAGUUUAUAGAUUCUAACAGACUUACUGACAUGUUAUAUUAUUCCAUUUGAAAUAUCGUUACCAGUCUGGAUUCUUUGGCUGACUUAAAAAAAAUAUUUUGCUUCAAUUGUGUAACAAAUGUAGAAGGAUAUUAUAGACUAGUCAUAAAUAUGUAUAUAUGCAUGGCCCAUUGUUAUACAUUUUGGGAAAAUUAUUGAAUAUAUAUUAUAUAAAAUCAUCUGAUGGUAGCCACAAUUUUUUUGUUUAAAUUAUCUGUAACAUGAUUACCGUCUAUAGCGGGUUUGCGUCAUUUCGGACAUGCGCUUGAUGCAAAAUCAAUACGACUGUGGAUGUUAAAAUGGAUAUAUUGACUUCACUAAAUGUUAAUAUCAUCAUCAGCCACUUUAUCCUUCGGCCACUUAGUCACUUGUGAUAUUUUUAACACAACACAUUGGGUGAAUUCGUAUUAUACGCAUUUAAUGUGGCACCAAGAGUUAAUUCAGACCCAUUCAUAGCUAAGCAGUUUAUAAUAGGUUGCCGCUAUUUCAACGUAUCAUUCAUCAAAAUUUGAUGUAUCUAUUUUAGUAGAAAACGAAAGAUGUUUCAUUUUAUUUGGUGUAAUAAAUCUUUAAUGCUCUUGAAUACUGCUUAAUACCGUCAGAACUCAGAACAUUAACUUUAGUUUUAAAUUAUAAUGCAAUUACUAAAACACUGCAAAUUUAUUUCAUUAUACAAUAUACAAAAAAUGAUCAUGUAUACUCUCUCUCUUUUCACAAUGAUAAAUUCCCAUUUUUGUUUUUAAAGAAUUUUAAGGUUUUAAUACAUAUUCCCUCAGUUUCGUAAAGAAUACCACUUUGACAUUUUCACACAAAUUAAAAAAAUGAUUAAAAUACAUUAAAGUUCUUAUUAGUUACACUUAAUAUGAAACAGAAAGAGUAUUUAUUAGUACUUGUUACAAAUUGCAUAUAUCAAAAUAUUUAUUAAUAAUAAAUACAUUUUUAUUUUUAUUAGUUUAAAUUUAUGUAAAAUUGUAAAAAAUUUAUAAUUGAUCACUAAACAUUAAUUAAUAUGUGUAAGAAAUGAAAAUUUAAAAAAAAUGUGAAACAGAAAGACUAUCACAUAAUUUAAUAAAUGUAAAAACUACAAGAAUUUAAGUUAAUAAUAUAUUUACGUCAAUAAUACUUAUGUUUCGGGUUGAUAUCUUAAUUCGUUUUGUAAUAAUAGCACUUUUAAAUCAAUUUGGUUAUAGAUUUUAAAAUAAAUUAUACUCAUACUUGGAAGCAAAUUAAAAAAAGGUUAUAAGAUUGCUUGGUGUAUGAAUAAUUGAAAACCAUUUUUUGUUUUUGACAACAAUUGAAAGCCAUUAAGUUUGACCUUUUUAGGCACUUGCUUAAUCGCACGCGCAUUUGAAAACCACCAAAUAAAAUCAACCCCACUUUCUUAAUAUUAUUGUGACUGAUGACGGCUGUAACAUUCUGGUCUUGACCGUCCAGUCCAUUCACUUGAACACGCACAUAAUGCUUUGUUGCCGAUUCACUUAUUUUCAUUAAAACUCAUCAUAUAAAUGAUUUCCCCUCCUUUUUCCUUUACAUCUAAAAGUCUAUGUAGUUUUUCUAGAUGCUUAUGAGUUACGCAAAACGAUCCUCUCCCACACAAAAAAACAAUAAUAUUAAUAUAUGUUUUAAUGUCCAAGUGUUUGAUUAGUGCUGCAGUUUGUAAAUAUGUAAUAAAACUAAUCAGCUUAAUUUUCUGUUUAAACAAGAAGUUUUGUAUAGAAAGACGACUUGGAUUAUAUUUUUGUAAGAAUUCUGAAUUCCUGUCGUUUCAUUCCAUAACAAUAUGUGUUAAUAUGUUCGUGUAUUAUUGACUUGUUGCUUUAUAGUUAUUUAUUUAUUCCCAAGUCAGAUUAUAUUCGUUCGGAAAAUGAACGUGACUCGUAUAUGAGUUGACCUUAUGAAUAUUGUCUAAGGCCUUAUCCAUUAGAUUAAAAGUUCAUUAUACACUUAUUAUUUGUAUUUAGUUUGAUUAUCUCCAAGGCUACAUUAUGAGCUGUUAGCUAGUAUCCUAAGUUAUGAAUAGCUCCAGAAAGGCCUUAUCCUAAGCUAUAUGAACAUUGUGAGCUAAGCUGAACACUUGCUUAGAUGUAACUUGAUCUUGUAUGUUUUCUCUAAAAGACCAAUAGCCAUCUUGUAUGCUUAGUUGAAUUUGUAUUAGGAUCUCUUAGUUGUAAGAGAUCAUAUGUUCAUCAAAUGGUUCUAUCACUACCAUAAGUUCUCUGUAAGGCCUUGUUGUUCUUCUCGCUCUGCUUUCUGCAGCCUGGUUAGUUUCCACAGGAGGCUUAUGUUCUUUGAUAGCAAAGUGAAAACCGUCCAUCUCUUCAUAGUCAUUUGGUAUAUUUGAACUUGUGAGCCAGUAGGCACAUGAGCUUCUCAGCAAGAAGAAGCAUUCUCUUUUCUUUUUUUUUCUCUACUCACCAAUAACAGAUAUUAACUUCCUUCUAUUUACAACUUAAAAUGUUAUAGUCUAUCACAUAUUUUCCCUUUAAACAAAAGAGAGAGGAAUUAUAUAUGUAUAGUUUAUCUAUCAUAUGGGUUCUUAAAAGCAUCAGGUAAAAGCAGGUGAUUUGCAGAUAGGGCAAGAGUUCUUCAAAGACAGCCAUUUCUUUAUGCACCCUCCAUGGUAGUCAUGACCACACCCUUUAAGUUCCCCCAACUCUUCUCCUUCCUUGUAUUCCUCCUAAAUGUUACCGUUACCACACCACCAUUAGACUCUUGGCACAUUUAAAUCUUUGAGACAUGCGAAUCUUACCAGGCAGAUUGCACAUUUUCUUUCCUCAUCCGUUUGAUACAAUGGGUAGAAUAUCGUCUCCAACAAGCAAGUGGAGAUUGCGCCCUUGGAUAGACCAGUGUUAACACUCCCAAUCCUUUCAACAAGAUCAAGAAGGUCCUGGAUAGUGUCAACCAUUUCAAGAUACAUCAGUUGCGAGACAUUUUGUCUGGGGCUUAGAAAAACCAAGAGUUCUGUAAUUAACCUCGUAGGUCAUGUCAUCGAUGUCGAGCCUCAAUUCUCUGUGGUGAUCAUGCAUAUUCCUGGAUCCAUAGUGCUGUUGGUGAUCUACAGCCAUAAAUCCCUGUUUUUGUACAUCCACAACAAAAUAAUAGAAGAAAGUUCAGUCUGCAGCAGAAUAAGAAACAUGAGAGUCUAUGUAGGCAAGUUUCUGAAGUGUUGGUCCCAUCAGUUUAUUGGCAAGUUUGGUAGGGAAAAAAAUUACUACACCUGAGAUGAAAAUGGUUCAUGGAGAGCAACUUCAUCGAAAGGAGGCUGAAACCUCUCAUAGGAACUCCUGCGUCUCCCUGGGCGAUCACUGCUACGCCAUGAGAUGUGUGGUGGUGGCCUCAGAUGCCUAGAAGGAUAUGUCUCAGUGACAAAAGGAGACCUAUCUCCAGAAGAAGAUGCUGAAUGUUCCAAUCGCAAACCGUUUGAAGAAGAUCUAUAGGUGGGUGUUGACCUAUGAGAGAAGCGGGAGCUAGUUGCAGAUUGUGUUGAAGUUCCAGGAAAACCGUGGGAAACUGUAGAGUUUCUGUUUCCGAUUAGCCCUUGGUGAUACCAAGAGGUAUCAACAGAUGUGCUGUUGGCGACACUUCUCGUGGGAAGAAAAUUAUUUGUCUUUGGACUAAAGCCAUUUAAAUCUGCAGGGUGAGAAUUCAUGUGGUUAAAGAACGUAGUCAGUAAAAAUUUGAAUCUCAAGAGAGACCAAAGUGAAAUUUGCAUACCUCUAGGUACUGGGGAGUGUCUAGGAAAGUUCCAGUUCCAGUCCUUAUUCCUGUGAGAUGUUUGACCAGGAAACUGACCUGAGCUAGAGUGAUCAACAUUGUGAUGUGUAGGAUGAGAAUCAAGGUCCAAGCUUCUUGAAAAAAUAUUUCUAUCUACACUAGUCUCUAAAUCAAGUGUAGGACGACUCCGGACAUUCCUUGAAGAACUCUCUCCCCUGAUCGAGAGAUUAUUACUUCUGUAACUUGGGUUCAUGAGCCACGGCAUGUAAUGAGGACCAUGAUCACGAGUUGUUGAUUUUCCCAUGUCCAACUCCGAGGAGAAAGGGAUAUCUGAGGAAGUUCUGCCACCGUGGUAAUGGCUUGAACUACCCAUUUCAUAGACGGAAGAAUCGCAUGGGGUUUUCCGCUUCUGUGCUCCUCUCACAUUUUCCAUAUGUAGAUCAACAUAGCCAUCCAAUGACCAUGUCUGACUGUUGCAGUACGAAGAAGAUGCAGAUGUCACAUAAUGUUCAAGUGGAGCAGAGAAAGUUGCAGCUGCUGAACUCAUGACAGGAACAUGGGUGGGGCCGCUAGUCCCUGGAUUGUAGUGUAGCCUCUCUACACCAUGACCUGAAGCAGUAUACGCAUUUGGUCCUGUAGAAGAGUUCCAGUGCGAAGAAAAUGGCAUUCCUUCAUUCAACACGUUUCCUGCUGGAUUAACAUGCGAUCUGCUCUCACUGGUCCCAGUUCUUGCUGAGAUAACAUAGAGCGAACAAUAAUACGAAUCAGAAAUUCCGGACACGAUUGCACAGGAAAAAGUAGAAUUAUGUAUGUGAUGAUUAUAAAAUGUGGCUUCCUAAUUUUCACUACCUGAGGGUAUCACCUAUCAAGAUUCAUUUUUGCCCCUACUGAAACCCAAUCUACCCAUGAGGGAGAAACUUCUCAACCUAAAAAUACGCAUGCAACAUCAACGCAAUAGCUCUUACACAGGUUGAGUAUAACAUCUAUCCAUGAAGAACGUGUUAAAAAUAUUGAUUUCAACCACAGAAUAAGGAUCUCUAUAGGAAUGGAGAACUAAUUACCUAAACUCGUAUAUGGGUGCUCUGGGUGUAUAUGGUUCCAGCCUUGAUCCUGUUCAUCAUCGAAAAAUUGGAAAGAGCCAGGAAAAUGUCUGUGCCCCAUGAUUACACAAAUCUUCAACCUUGGAGUCCAGCUAACCCUGCACAGAAAGUUCUCUCAACAUUCAGAACUCAUCCAGAAAAAAAUUUGCAAGUCCAUAAAAAUAGUUCUUAAUUACUAAGCAAUCUCAGUUUCAAUUCAAGAAUGGUAUAUAAAGUAACAUCUGCUUUAGCUCAGAAGUACCAAAUGGUUGCUGAAAACGAGUCACCCAUCUAUUUUCAGUUUUAUAGUCACAUUUCAAGACCAAAACUCCAAUUUUUGCAACUGAAGAACCUUAACCAUCGCCAAGUUAAGAAACAAAGUUUCUUCAACCCCACACAUGAGCAUACUCAAGCUGUAAGAAACGAUUUAGAAUAUGCAUAGAGAACACUACACAGUAUUAGGACGGACAUCAACUUCAGGUAUAAAGGAAACUGACAAUGGUAUAUUGAUAGAGAUUCUUUAUCAGAAGAGAGUCCAUAGUUUCAAUACCUAGUAUCAAUAUAGUUGAAAUAUCUAGUCUCAGUUACCUUUGUCACCCGUAUCUAACAUACUAUACCCUCAGAGCUCAGCUCAUGAUAUCAUAAAAACAAGUUUUCGAAGAGUUGGACUGGAAAGUUCCUGAUGCCUUAAGAUGGGAAUAACCUUAACUAGUACAUAUCUAUCAGCUCAUAAGGGUAUCUUGCAAUCAAGAGUUAAUAAAUAAAACAGAAACCUACAUUUUCUCUUUGUGUAAGCCAAAAGAAAAUAAGAGACACAAAACAAGCAAGAGUGUUCUCUAGUACAUUGGCAUAAGAAGUUCAUUUAAACAAGACAUUUACUCAGGUUUAAGAACUUCAUAAAUUUUACAGAAACAGUCCACCGAGAAUAAGGCAAGAAAGAACAGAUACAGAACAGAUAACAUUUGAUAUGACCAUUUCAGCUUCUAUCAACACAUACAGAACAGAUGCAUACUGCUGGCAUGAUCAAGAAAAUUACAUGGAUGAUUCAACAGCAGGAAAUAAGUUUAAUUUUCUGAGCCAAAACCCUCCAACAAUACUACUGCAGGCAAAUUAAACUCCCAACCAAGAAUACACUAAACUACACAAGUGAAAAAGCCAUCAUCCUUUCCUGAUCAACUGAUUCACCAUUUCCACACACCAAAUGUAAUUUCUUCUCUUCAAGUUCAGAAUCAUAACGGGCUUAGUCCACAGAGUGCUGGCCAGCAAAGGCUUACCACCACAUUCUACUAUUCUGAAGCUUUUACUUAGUCAAAACCUGCCAUCCGGCCCAGCACACCUAGAUCUACUCCAAGAGCUAGUAAGCAGAAAUGGGUUGUGUGAAAGGAUGCUUCUAAGCAAUUUGCUUUAUGCUUCAUAGGAUGGUUGUCAUUUCGCAAGAAAUAUUGAAGUUUUUACCUUAAUUCACACUUCAAGCAUCACUGACUAAUUAACACAUUCAGUUAUGAACGUGGAAUCAAAAGAAGGGUGGUGGAAGAACUGGACCAGACAAACUUCACAAAGCCUUGACUACCAUAAACAUAGUUAUCAGCCAUAAAACGUAAAUGAGUAAAAAACUAACCACGCUAAUAGAGUUUGGUUGACUUAUCUUACUUCAAGUUCACGUUGGUUUCUCAAUCAACCAACAAUCUGCCAAAAUAGAAGGAAAACGGCAGCCACCGAUUCUAUGUAUUACAAAGGCUUAGCAUAAGGCACUAACAUCUGCUGACAAAAGUGUUAGAAUAAUACAUUUUCUCUGCUACAAUUUCAAAUUUUCUAUUAUAUUUUUGAGAAAAAAACCAAAAUAGCACUAAAUCAAGUUUUUGUUCCCAAACUAGCACUCAAGGCCAAAAGUCACAAAAAUAGCACUCAAGAGAUGGGGUUUAGGGUUUAGGGUUUAAAGUUUAAGUUUUAGGGUUUAGAGUUGAGAAGUGAGAUUUUGGAGAUAAGAUUUCAAAUUUUGAAAAAUAAAAAAGUUUAAAUUUUUCAAAAGAUAAAAUGCUAUUUUGGUCAUUUAGUUUUUGAGUGCUAUUUUUGUGAUAUAAACUUAGAAAAGUACUAUUUUGGAGAUUUGCCUUAUAUUUUUUCGAUUUUUUUUUUUUUGAUUAUACAAAGUUUCCCUAAAGGCUUCCUAAGGGACUAAUCUGUGUAGCUGCAACCCGAAUGUGAAAUCCGCAGUGGCCGGGAAUCGAACCCAGGUGGCGGUACUCACAGCUGUGAGCCUCUGUGAGCUAAACGCCCCGGUUUAUUUUUUCGAUAUUACUAAAGAGGAAGACGUAUUUGCUGACCUUAAACUAUAUGGACGUUACUAGUUCAAGACUGAGAGAAACCAUCGUUGCCACUAAACCUGCUGGAUACAAAGCCUAGCUAGUUUGAUGCUAAAUAGGAAACUGCUCAAACUAGCUCUAUAUAGCUUAGCCCCGUCGCUGAAGUAGCCUGAACUAAUCACCGAUCUGGUCUCCUCUUCUUCUCAGCAUCCGAAUCUCUAACUACGAUUCAAACAAUCCAAUCACGAAAAGUCACUCAUGUAGCAGACGGAAGCAAACAAUCAUCACGCAAAAGGAAAACAGAUGAUCCGUCGUAACAGCGUUUAAACAAAUCAUUGGUGAAACUGCAAUCGAUUUGAGCAUAUAUAUACAUAUUUACACGAAAACCUCAGAGCUCAAACGAUGAUCGGAGAAGAGAGAAACGUACCGCUAGCAGCGUGCGGAUGAUGGAGAAAGGAGAACGAUCGGAGGAUUCAAAGAGACGACGAACGGAUUCGUAGAGAUGACUCAGCUUGAGGAUUGUGAUCGGUUGAUAUAUUUAAGAGAGAAAGCAAAUGAAAAAAUGAUAAAACAAAACAAUUUAAUUUAAAAGCGAUUGGGUGGGUACGUUGCUGGAAAAUUUAGACCACCACAGCAUCACCGGCUGAUUAAUGGGCGUAGAUUAAUGGGCCUAUAUUUUGACUUUAUAUGGGCCUCCACUGGAUCAGCAACUAUCCCUUCUUCUUUUUUUGUCACCAGCAACUAUAGCAUUGUUCACAUAGUGCAUUAUGUUGCAUCUGACAGAUUAUGAGCAUAUAAUCCUUGAAUCUGCUUUGUAGAAAGCUCUUAGAAAUUUAAUUUUUCCAUUGUCUUUGCACGUGCUGUGAAAUUUUGUGUUAAUUACGCAUAAAGUUUGAUUCGUUAGAUUUAGUCCAAAGUAAACAAUAUGGAUACAUAGUCCACAAUCCCCCUAAAAUGGUUAUUUCUCAGAUUUUGACAGUCUUAAUUUGAAGACAAUUUGGAAGAUGAAGUUGCAGUGAAACACGCAAGCAUUGCAUUGCUUUUUUCUCUUUCUAAAACCAAUGGAAGUACAAGGAAGUGGAGGUGAAUCAAUAACAAUAAACCGUGUGCAUUGCCGAGAUUAUAUAGUUUGUGAUUAUACCAUUUUAAUACAGAGAAGCUGCAAAUACCAAAUUAAACCAACGCAGGUUUGAGGUUCCUACGUCAAGUUCAACCAUUUCAUUUCUAGUGUAAUUUCUCUAUUCAAAACAACUAUAGAAAGGUCCACUAGACAUGGCAGACGAAACAAUACCCCAAUAACAUUGUGGCAUUACGAAAGUAGCAAAGCAAAGCAUAAGAUAAAAUAAAAGCGGCAUUAUAACAAACCAAAACAGACUUGUUCUUGUUCUUAACCGAAACAUAAAAGCUAAAACCUCAAAAGUGAAAAUAACCGAACAAAACACUUAAUCUCAAAUUCCCUUUUUUUUUUAAAUUAAUUAAUUCUCAGGAAUCUCAACCUCACCCUCUUGAAUCUCCUGCUGGAUAUCCUUGGAAUCUCCUGCUGAAUAUCCUUGGGAUCUUUCCCAUCCACAGUACACCCAACAGACACACACGUCCCAAGAAUCUCCCUCACGGUCCCGCUCAGCUCCUUCGCAAUAGACCUCGGCCUCAUGAUCCUCGCGAUCUCAAUCACGUCAUCGAACGAAAUGUUCCCGUUGUGCUUAAUGUUCUUCACCUUCUUCCUGUCCCUCUCCGGCUCCUUCAAGGCCUUGAUCACCAGCGCCGCCGCCGAAGGCACCACCGUCACUUUCGCCUGGCGAUUCUGCACCGUCAGCUUCACCGUGACGCGGAGCCCCUUCCACUCCUUGGCCGUCUCCUUGGCGAUGUCUUCUCCGAUCUUUUUGGGAGCCAGACCGAGGGGACCGAUCUUGGGAGCGAGGGAACUCGCGGCUCCGACUUCUCCGCCGGUCACGCGGACGUAGACGUCCACGAUCUGGCUCGGGUCAAGCUUCGGCGGCAUGGCUGUCUCGGUGGUUAAACGGAGUUUGAUUAGUUUUUUUUUUAAGUGGAGUCCGGAGACGAGGAGGCGGUUGAAGACGAGCUCCAAAGGCUUUUAUUGAGGUCGACACUAGGGUUUACGAAAUGAUGAAUUUACUACCCUUGUAAACAUAUAUGGGCCUUAAGAGAAUGAUCUUAUGGGCUUUAUUUUAGACUAUCGGUUCUUUUACGGUUUAGUAAAUAAUAAAUCCCCGGUUUGAUAGAACCGGUUUACUUCCGUCGCCUCUUUGCUCGGUGAGAAUUGCCUAAAAUAUUUCCUCAGUUUCGGAAAGAAGUAUAUUUUAGUUACCAAUAUAAUUUUAAUAAAUAAAAUUAUGUUUUUUUACUGUUUACGAUUAAUUUAUGCAUUGAAACCGUAAAAAUGUAUUUUUCUUGAAACGGAAUUUUUUUCUAAAAUAUGGAAUUUUUUGAAACGCAUGGCUUUUAUUAUACUAAAAUAGUGAAAGUGACGUCACUUCGUUUAACCGAUAUGAUCAACAACAGAAGCAUAUAGUUUUGACAAUAUACUGGGAAACAUUUACUUUUUGGAACUUUCUGUUAUCUUAUGUGUGUUAUUUAAUUAGUGGGUGGCUAAGGACCAGAAGUUGAGAAAGAAGGAAGGGAACACAGCAAGCCAGCUGAUGAAUGCCAUUGCUGUGGCGGUCUGGAACCUUGUGCAGUGGCUGCCAUCACAUUUAUCAAGAUCGUUGAUGAGUACGGUUAUGCCAGCAGACGCAGAUGCAGCUGCAAACGUAAGUAGGCAUGUGAUCUGCAAGGGAUGAAAAUAGACAAAACAGUCACUUUGUUGCCUUCUUAGAAACUAACUUUAAACAAUAAAGAGAGAUGUUGAUUUCGUUCUUACUCCAUCUCCAACUGUGAAACAUCGAACAACCAAGUGAUUCCGAAGGCUUCUUCCCACCAGAAGAGCAUAAGCAUCGAUGAUAAAAAGAGACAAGCUCCACAGGCUUUGCAAGCUAACCGCAAAAACCAAACCACUGUCACAGUUUAUAGAUAUGUUUUGUCAGAUUCAUAUUUUUCCGUAAACCUUAGGUCUAAGAGUUGGAUUUUACUAGAAUGCGGUGAAGGAGUGGAAGUCGGGGGUGGUGAGCAUGACGGAGAGGGAGAUGAGAGAGGAGACGAACUGAGAGAGGCGGAGGAUGAGGCCGCCGGUGGUUCCUGGCAUGCCCUGAAUAUCUUUCAUCCUCACUGGCGGUCUAUCGUUGGCUCCGCCAGUAGGACCCACGGGGACAGCAAUUACCGGACGAACCGCCGGUCGGCUCACGUUCAUCAUGUGAAAGUGAGUCACUCUGAUAACACACACACAAAUGAGGAACUAACUCGACUGAGUUUGCUAAACUAAUUUCCUAAAGACAAAGACUUAUUCAACUAACUGAAUCUCUAACACAUGUAGGACUUUCGAACGUUUACCGCAAAAGUUCAAACAGACCCACCUUGUAAGACACGAAACUGCUACUUUGGCUGUCUGAAAAAUGGAAUUAGUGUGGAUUUUUUUUUUGGUCCACGAGUUAAUUAGUUAAUGUGAUGUGUUUUGACAGAAUCGACCCAAAACAUAGUAUUUAAUGUUCCUAACUUUUGAUAUCUAUUGACUUAGAGUAACCGACUUUGAAAGUUAGUAUAAAACAACUGUAGAAACUUUUAAUGUGGCUUACUAGAUUUUUGGUGCUAUUCUAAAGUAUUUAUGUUUUUAUAUUAUUUAUUUCAAAUAUGUUAGACAUAAUAUUAUAACUUAUUAGUACUAUUUUCGACAGUUUAUGUUAUUACUUUUGAAACAGAUUAUAUUUAAAUUAGUAGUAUAUAUUAAGCUAGAAAAACACUCGAAAUUUAUUUGAACACUUAAAAUAAAACUAUAUUUUUUGUUUCUUAUUCUUUUCCUGUGUUUAUUUGUGUUGUAGUAUUGAUAAUUGACUAAAUAAAUACAAACAAGAAAAUGUGAAACUUUUGUUGGUUACAGAACAGAGUUGAUGAUCUUACAGAGAAUUAAAGACAUUUAGUUUGGGGUUAAAAAGACAGUUCUAAUCAUUUACAACAAAGAACUUCCACCGAACUGGAAAUUGUUUUUACUUUACCCCAACUAAUCGGGAUCUAUUCCUUCCAUUUUUAGUAAGAUUAAUAAAAUCGUGAAAAUCUGACAUUUUCAUAUCUAUAUAUAAAAUCUUUAAAUAGUUAUCUAGAUAUAUUUAAAGUUAUCUAGAUUUUUUUUUUUUGAAAAAGUUAUCUAGAUAUAUUAGAUCUUGAUAAUAAUCAUUCUCCAGCCCUUUCCAUCUCCCAGCAGAGCUUAGACGCAACACUUUCAUGGGAAGGUGCAUAUUCCUGCAAAAUGACAACAACAACGUUUGAGAUUAUGUAGAGACCCAGAAACAAUUCAUUUUCUUCAAUUUACCUCAAGCUUCUUCACAAGCUCUUUAGCAGUAGGUUCAGAGACUAUGAUCUCACGAGCAGUCGGGCUGAUGAAUCCUUCUUCAACGGCUUUAUCGAUGAAUGAAAGCAGCGAGUUGUAGUAUCCAUCAACGUUGAGUAAACCCACCUGCAGAAAGUUUGUUUUAGUGAUUUUGGAUUCUUGAAUUUUUCCAUUUGAAGUAAGAAUAUUAGGGAGGUUUUUUUUUACAGGCUUGUCAUGAAUUCCAAGCUGAGCCCAAGUUAUGACCUCAAGCAAUUCUUCAAGUGUUCCAUAGCCUCCUACAAUUAUCGCACAAAAUUUUAGAUUUGAUUUGUCAAAAGAGAGCAGGUUAAUCUGUUACUAUGAUAUGGUCAAAUCAGUAGGUGUGUCAUGUACAAUACAAAACCAAAUAAUAGAGUCCUCUCCUCUCUGUUACUGUUUUGUACAUUGGUACUGACUAUGAUUACAAAAGCAGGAUCUUGACUUUCCAUUAAUGAUUUCAGAUUAAGUGUGGGCCAAAAAAUGCCAUUUGUGGGACUGUUUCAAGUUUUGUCUCUUAACUUGAAAAGGGCAAAGAAAAAAAGUUUGGUCAGAGUAAGACUACACAAGCUAUAGAGAGAGUACCCCCUAAGUUAAAAACAAAGCAGAGCAAUAACCAGAGUAAAAGAAAAGGAAAAAGGUAUAAUUCUAAGUGCCAGAUGUUGAUGGUUAAGGCCUUUUAUCUUACACUCUGGUGACUUUAAAUAUUUAGAUUUUUUUCAUUUCAAAGAAUAAUUAAAAAUAAAAAACUUUUCACAGCAGCUUUCACACUGCAGCUUGACCAAAACAUAAUGUUUUUUUUUGUGUAACUAAGAAAUCAUGUUUUUACCAAACUCUUUUCUUCUCUUUUUUUACAAAAUCAGUCCAGAAAAACAAACUUUUUCCUUUACAUGAACAAACCCUACUUUGAAACUUUGAUUACCCAUUCAAAUUGUUUUAAGAGGCUAUUCUUAAAAUUCUUUGCGUCACUAGGGUUUUGACAAGUUUUCGUAUGUUAUCAUUACUUACAUUGAAAGAACAGCAAAAUUUUGAGGUUUAGAAAUGUUUUUUGAGAAAGAAAACAUUUGAUUGAAAAUUUGGGUGGAUUGGGUUUAAAACAAAACCUGGUAAGGCAAUAAAAGCAUCAGAGUGCUUGGCCAUUUCAGCUUUCCUUUGGUGCAUAUCUGCAACUGCUCUUACUUCUCCUACUGUUUCACCAGUCAACUGCAAAAAACAAUGAUCAUCCACCAUUUUAAAAUAAAUAAAAGGAUGUUAAUUAAAAGUAGUUAAAGGGCAAAAGCAACUUUGGGCUCUUCUACAGGCAAACGCAAUGAUGUCACCGCAAGUAGUCGUAAUGUUUGGAUGUUUUUGAAAUCUCCUACAGAACCCUAACAUCUAGUUAACCUCUUUCUAAUCAUUUUCUUCAUAUAUCUUUUAUUCAGAUUACGGUAACCAAAUGAGGAUAUUUAUAUUUUAGGACACCUAAACUACUCGCAAUCAUGAGAUUUAAGAAAAGGUAACAAACAGGGAGAAGAGUAAAACCUAAGCAAACACCGAAGAUUAAAAUGGUUUUGAAUGGGAAUUUGGAGAACUUAAAAGAGAAAUUAAAUUAACAAAGAACAAUGUUUUAUUUUGAAAUUUUCUUCUUUGAAAAGUUCAUACCUCUCUAGGCAUGAGGGUCUUUGGAAUUAUUCUGCAGAGUGACAACAAAAGGACAAAGUUGGGUUUUAUUAGAAAUAUUCAGCAAUAUAAUCCAACACUUGUGUUCCAUCAGAAUCUCAAAAGACAGUUUUCUUUUGUAUGAUCUGAAGCUUACAAAGUUGUCAAAUAGUUUAAAGUUAUUUGACUAAGAAAAAGUUACCCAAUAACAUGACGACCACCAUUAUGAACAGCUUGUGAAACCAAACCCAUCAAGCCUAUGCUCCCACCUCCAUAGACUAGAUCAAUUUUCCUUGAGACCUGCAGAACAAAAAAAAAAACAGAGUUACACUUUUUUUUUUUUUUUUGUCACAAAAACAGAGUUACACAUUAGCCUAAACUUGAUGAUAAGUAGAGCAAAAAUCGUGUAACAAACCAGAACCAGAAUAUUCUGAAGUUAUACCAUCUGGCACGUUUCAAAGAAGAAAUAAAUGAAGCAAAGAUGCACAUCAUCUUAUCUCAAAACCAACCAGCAUAAUCAAAGACAUAAAUACGUUAAAAGUCAUGUAUGUGUUACCAGUUCGUUGCCGAGAUCUACAGCAGCAUCUUGGUAACUACUCUUCUUGCCUUGGCUGCUUCCACAGAAGACACAUAUUCUUUUGAACUUUGACUUUUGCAUCGUUUCAGCUUUGAUCUCCAUUGAAUAUGAUCCUAAACUUAUGAUAAAAUAUAAAACUUCUCCAGAAAGAGAAAAGGUAAACAAUUUUAAGGUUUCUUUCAGCACAAGAAUCUAAUUUCGCAAGACAGUUAUGAGUGACAAAGAAACCUAACUAAAUCUGAAAAAAUAAUUUAUUUUGGGAGUUGUUUUUAUCCUCACCACUAAUGUUUCCUGGCUCAAGGGUUGUUGUUAUAUAUAUAGUGCGUCAUCGAUUUAAGCUUACUUAUUUUAAAUUACAUUCUUUUUGAUGUUUACUAAAGCUAGCAGCCUAGCACAACAUUUAAUAAUACAAAUUUAGAAAAAAAAAUAGAAGGCUUUCGUUAAAAAGUUUAUUUUUUUGUUUGUUUGAAUACUUCAUUUCUGUUUUAUUCCCCAUAAAAAAAAUAUUUUUGACCAAAAUCUUAUAAAUCGUUGAUUUGAAUAUUUAAUAAAAAUCGAUAUUUUUUAGAUUUAUGUUGAGGUCUUUACACGGGAGAAAUUAAAGCACGCGUCUUUCACUACCCGCGCGGCACGCGUGACCGAAUUCUUCUUUGUGUUAAUUUUCCCUUACUAUAAAAUCACGUACAACAAUGAUAGACUAGUACCAUAAACCUUAUUUAUGGUCGUAAAUAACAAUUUUUUUUGUUACUUGAGAGGAAUUUGGAUCAAACCGUAAUCUCCGCUUAAACCUGAAACCAUGUGUCCAUGCAUUGAUAAUAGUUUAUGACAUGGCGUAGAACAUUUCUUUCCAUAUAAAUGACAAUUCUUCGUAAUGGACUUUAUGGUUAGACUCACAAUCACCCAACUAGAUAGAAAUGCCAUGUUAAUGCAGGCUAUAUCUCACAAGGAAUUAUUAUCAGUUGUGUUCUUUGUUGUUAAAGAUCAUAUAUAUCGUGUUUAGACUUCAUAACCCCCUCUUAUGAUUUCGUAAAGAAAGCUCUCAGUGAUUAAAAAAAAACUGAUUCAGUAAAGCUUCGUCAUUUUUCGUUCUUAAUCAAGAAUAGGAAAAAUAAUUAAUUUUCUAUAUAAAAAUAAGAAAAAUGGACAGCAUAUGUGGACAGUGUAAGAUGGGUACAAACGUUAUUAACUGAUACUCUUGAAAAACAAAUAGAGAAAGGGAAAAUAAAUAACCAAAAAUAACCAAGACAAAGGCCACACUAAUAUUCUAAUGGAACCAUGUAGAUGUCAUGGAUAAACCAAUGAGAUAUAUACACACUCACUUAUCUAAAGAGAUAUAUAGAAUGAAUAAGUUAAUGAGAUGAUGAUGUCUGGGAUAUGGAGCAAUGUGCCAUUGAUGAUUGACAUAAGAAAACAAAGUGAUGGCUUAUGUUACCAGUGUAGCCUAAUUCACCCUCCCUAUGUAGACAACCUUCUUCUUGUUCUUUGCAUAGAAAACGUUUCUUCUAUUUUUAUUCCCCUAUAUUCAUUUUCACCAUCCUAAGCUAUAGUAUGGAGUUGUGAUAUAAAAUUCUUUUAAUUUUUUUAGACUAUUAUUUUUGUCUUUCUCUUUCAGAAUAAAGUAAUCAUUAAAUCAUCGUUGAAUUAUUUAAAGUUAUGAAUUCAGAAACAUAUGCAAAUUAUCGCCUUGUGAAAGAAUGAAAAAUAAAAUUUCUUGUUACACUUCCCAUUUCAGGAGAACCUUUUAUAUAAUCUUGAUUUAUUGAAAAAUCAAAAAUUUAAAACCGAAAGCUGAGAGCUAAAACUAAUAAGAAAAAAAAAACACUAGUUUCGUUAAGACUCUAUCGUAACCCUAUUGACAUGUUGGCUUGGAAUACCAGGAACCUCCCCAACACUCUUAUACUUAACUGUAAGCAAACACUUACAAUAUACUUCAGAUCAUAUAUAUUUGUUUAUAACAUGUGUAUAUAGCGUAUGAGUAUUUAAAUAAGAAAAUAAAAUAAUUACAAUCCCAAGAUCUGAGUAGAUGCAACCCAUUCCUUCUAUAAACAAAUAAGUAAGUUUGUAAAAUAGUUUGUAUUAGUAUAUCUGCAUGCUUGCAUGCGCAUUUUUCUCUUGUUUUUCUUUUUCAUCUCUAGUUUCACUUCACAUUCUUCUUGGGUUUUUCACUUCCGACCCAAUUUUUAUUUUAUUAUAAUAACCAUGACGAUGGUAGUGAUACCACAAUUUAAUCAGAUAAUACUUUCAUGCAGUCCAAUUUGAAAGUGUUAAAUAUUUGAAAAUGAGCACAAGAGGUUUUAUAACUCGAAUCUUUUUAUAGUCUGUACAGAAAAAAAAAACAAAAAGACAAUUUUAAAGGUGGACGUUUGAAGAACAAAUUAUCCUUUUUACAAAAGGUUAAUAUCUGUCUCCAAUCGAUUUUGACAUGAUUUCAAAGACAUAUAGUGACAUAGCAUUAACGAACAUCUAACGGAAUCCUAAAUCACUUUAACUAAAAGAAGUUCAUAAAGAAAGAAAAAGUAUUAAGUUAGUCAUACAACUAGUUCAUUCUGUUCAUAAAGGGGUUCUAAGUAUUUAUAAAUAUCAAUUUUUCUUGGAGUGGUUCUCAACCUUUUCAAACAGGUCAACAUUUUUUACUUCCUUUUAUAAAAGGUUUUUGUUAAAUUAAGAAAAGUUCUUUCGAAAGAUGAAACUUGAAUCCUUUAUAUAUUUACUUAUCAGUUAAAGAAGUUCAUUCAUAUUAGACCCAAUACAAUUUUGUUCAUAAAGGGGUUCUAAUUAAGUAUUUAUAAUUAUCAAUUUCUAUGCAGACAUAGGAAAGGCUCCGCGCUUUCUAAUAAAUAUAUAUAUGGGUUAUUAUAUAUCCAUGCCUGACAAAAAGAAAAUGCUUAAUUUGAUUUAAUUUAAGAUUAAGGAGAUGAAGAUGAAAAAAUUAUUAACCCAUAUUAUUUUUUCAUUUAAGCUCUGGCUGUAAAAAAGCUGAACAACUUUUACCAUAUUAUUUUUUUCCGAAGUAUAUUAAAAAGAAGACAAUAUAUUUAUUCACUGUUUUAGGUUUUGUUCCAAGCUAUCACCACUAUUUUGUCAGUAGUACCAUAGAUUCAUGAUUAAAAAUGACUCAAAACCUUUCUUAAUAAAUAAAUUUUAAACCUUAAAUGAAAAACUUAAGCCAAACAUAGUAUCUCAAUAUUGUCUAUAAUUUCUUAAAAUAAAGGAUAAUAUCCUCACACAGUUUUUUGUAGUAGUGUUAAAAAGAACAGUAAUAGUAUAUUCGGAAUAAAAACCUUUUAAAUAUAGCAUCUACGGUAUUUUUUUAGCUUUUAUGAACUAUUUUAAUGAUUUAUUCUUGUUUUUGUUGUUGGUAAACAAAUAUUUUGAGAUGAUUUGUGUAUUGGAUGCAAACGGCAUAUUUAAAUUAAGGAAAUGCUAAUUGGGAGGCAGGAUAAAAUUCUUAUUAAUGUCCAUCGAAUUUUUUUUAUUAAAAAUGUUUGAAUAUGUAAUGUGCAUUGGAGUUAACUAUGACAUAUUCUUAUUACGGGUUGGUUUUGUCGUUGAAACAAACAAGAACGUUAUAUUAAGUUCAAAAAACAAACAAGAUGUUAUGGAGUCACACAACACUAUUUCGUACAGAAAUGAUACCUCUAGUUUUUAAAUGUAAUUUUUUUCCUACAAUUUUGACAUCUUUUAAAAGGAUAGUCCACGUAUGAGACUAUGUUAUGAUUGCAUGGGUAAAUACUUUAAUGUACAAGACGUGAAACUUAAUGCAAAACUAUCAAUAAAGGUCGAUAUGAUUCUUUAAACCAAAAAAAGUUCGAUAUGAUUCCGACAAUAUUUUAGAUUUAUGACUUUGAAACCCAAAAGGAACAGACAUUUACCACUUUGAACCGAAAAUAGAACCCCCAAACUUGUUUUUUUCCUCAACGGACCAACGUUAAAUCCACAAAUUAAGGAAUUGAAGAAAAGAGGAGACAAAAAAACAAGAAAGGAAAAGGGAAGAACAUGGAUUUGUAAAUGGUGAAAAGAGGGACAGUCAAAGGUCAGAGAGGGACAAAUCAUUUGUUUAGUAGUUAUCAUAAAGUGUCGGACAGUUAAUACCGUUACUUACGAGUCAAAUGUCUCUAUUACGUUUUCACUUAUCACUAGUUAGUGGUAACUUACUUAAAUUACUUUUUCAAAAAAAAAAAAACUUACUUAAAUUACCCUCCCAUCAAUCGAUUUAUAUUUUCAAAAUUUCUGUAUUGUGAAAAAGCCAUGCAUUGUUGACGCAAUUUUUUGUUGUUGUUACUUGUCAACUAUUGAUACGUACUACUAACCAUGUUAUGUAUACAAUGCAUCUUUACAUAAACCUCUUUCAGUAGACUAAAUUCACAUUCAAAUCUUUUGAGUUAAACAUGUUUAAAUUGGAAAAUAUUGAGAAAUAAUAACAAUAAAUAUUUAUUGCCCUUUUCAAAAAUAAAAAUAAAGAUUUAUGGUUUUUAGUAAUUACUUGAACUAAAUUUGUUAAAACUUACAUAUACUUACUACUUAGGCAGAUAAAUGACAACUUUUAAAACAGUUAAAGGACAACUUUACGUAUACAGCAUGUAUGUAAGGAGUUUAUGAAGACAAAAGGAGGAAAGAAUCUAACUUAUAGCAAGAAGAGUGGUGAACGUAAGAUGGAGAGAGUGAACAGUCAAAAUACAUUCAUUCAUUCCUUUGUUUUUUUUUCUCUUUUAGAAAUUAAAAUUUAUGUCGUUUGUUUUUGGGACAUUACCUACGUUCAUUUCAACUCUUUCAACCUUUCGGUCAUCUCUAUACGAAUAUACCCCCAUUUGUUUUACAUUUUUAUUUUCUUUUAAAAUUUAUGAAGUUACAUUGGCGCCUACAAUUCAAAAGAUUUAGUUUGACUGGUUUACACCAUGUGAAUCCCAUAGGAUAAAUUAUAAAUAAUUCAUAUGGUUUCUGACGUAUGCGUUAUACAUACCUAUAUUGCAUGUUAAAUAAUGCCCUUUUCUGAGAUGGUGAAUAGAUAGAUAUGUCGAAUUUUUAGUAUAUGAAGUUGAAAUUAUAAGAAAUAUCCUAAAAGUAUUUGCAUCGACAUUCAUUUGCUAAGGAAAAAGGUUAAAAAUGUCUUCAAAAAAGGGUAAUGGACGUUUAAUAUAGGAUUAAGUAGCAAAGGAGCAAACAUGGAACAUGUUCAUCUCCUAUGAAUGAGGUGAAUAAGUCAAAAAAAGAAGAAGAAUAAGUCAAAGUAGGUCUAGUUGCUGGACCGGUUCUAAGGACAACCGGAUAAAAAUCCAUCUUAAUCCCAAUUUUUUUUAAAACUAAGAACUAUUAUACGUAGACCACAUGGUCCAUAUACUAUCCAUAACUUUUUAGUAAGAUAAACCUGAUAAUGUUUGCCAAAGCUCCUUUAGAUUAAUGUUUGACAAAGUGGUCACUAAUGGUUAUACAUCAUGAAGUCUAAGUUCUGAAUCUUAUAGAAGGCAAAAUUGUGCUGGAGAUUUUUUUUAUAAAAGAUGGAGCAAAAAAUACCAUAAAACGUAGAUCUUAUAAGUCGGUUCAAAGUGAUGCAGUAAAAUGUAAAUUCUUAUAAAAAAUAGAAUCAUCAAUUAUAUAAUCGUUAUAAUAUUUUCAUGGUUUGCAAUAGCAUAGCUAUUCAACGUUAAGAAAAACCAAAUAAUGUUUUUUGGCCAUAAAUUUUCGAUCCGGCUUUGUUGCGCUGUCCACGUACAAAACUAUGGCAUAUAUAAUUCACGAGGUUUGAAAUAGUGUUCCUUUUAUUUGUUUAGUUAGUUCUCAAUAUUUUUCUUUCAAAUGAAUGACAAGAGAAAUCGUAUGAGACGAAUAUGAGAGAUAGGUUAAGAAUCAGGAUGUUUUCGUUCACAGUAUAUAUAAGAAAUUAUUAUAAGAGAUUGUAGCUUAUGGAACAACAUUAAGGGUAUGACUGGUUUCCUCGCUGCCACACGCAUGCGGUUGGUAGCGGUUAUUGGCGUUUUGCAACAAUCACUCAAACCGCUCUAAAUCGUUUCAAACCUCAUAAACUCAAAACUGGCUUCAGCUAGCGUUUGCGGUUACGGGAGGAUAAUUUUUUUCAAAACAAUAUAAACAUAAAAAUAAAAAAUUCAAUAAAAAUUUUAAAUUGGAAUUAUAAAAAUACUAAAAUAUAUCUAUUUUAUAUUUUAAUUAAUAUUAUAAAAUUUAACUUUUAAAAUAUAAUUUUUAUAUUUAUUAUAAUAUUAUAAUUUUUUAUAUUUUUAUAAUUAUAUAAAAUAUAAAUAUUGUUAAUUUAUUAUUUAACUGUUGUUGCAUCUGAUAGUUAAUCAGUCAUAAGUAUCCUGCAAAUGCACCAAUUUCUAACUAUAGAACCAGUCGUACAAAUCUCUUAAAACCGCUAGAACUGUAACCAUCCGCAUCAGCAAACUCCUGCGACCGCAACCGCAACCGAUACAUUUAAACAAGUCAGGCCCUAAGACGAUAACGUUUGUGGGCAGCAUCAUUAGCAAAGAGAACUACGUCUAUUAGCAUUAGAAACAAGUGAUGCUCUUCAUCAUCAUCAUCAUCAUAAACUACUUCCAAAGUGUUAUUACACGUAUGUGGUAUGCCGUAUAUAUAUGCAUAUACAGUUCUUUAUAGUAACCUACAUAUAUAUGUAGGUGUAGCCAUCGCAAUAUCUAGGUGUAUUGUAUAUUAGGGUAUAACAACGAACUUAGUAGAGUAGUAUGAAAUUACCUUAAACUUGGUUUAGUUUGGUUGAAACGCGUAAUUAAUAUCUUAGUAUGAAACUAAGAGUAUACACUUUAAGCAAAUAACUAGAUUUUGAUCCGCGCUUUUAAAGCGCGGAUUUAUUUUUUUAUUUUUUAAUUGACAAAUAUUUAGUAAAUGUCGUAUUUUUAUAUAUUUGUCUUUUAUUUUUAUGAAUGCUUAAAUUAUAUUAAGAAAAUAAAAAAAUAAUAAUUAAGAAUAGUUGAAAAAAAAUUAUUUUAACUUGGACUCAAUGGUCCAAAUGAAAAAAAAAAAGUGAGAAUUGAAUCUGAUUUUUUAAUAGGUCCAAAUGGCCCAAGAGAGAUUUGAUUUGGGCUGGAUCCAAAAAUAAUGAUCCAAUAUAGAUUUGUUAUUAAUAUUACUUAAUUGCCCUUAAUGAAACAUGCAAUGUUAGUGAAGAAAACAUACCCCUAAGGUAAUUAUGACAAUAGGAUCCUGCUUUAAUAAUAUAGAUUGAUUUCUCUUGAACCAACUUGCACUCAAUUUGCUCAUUCAACUGCGUAUUGUAUUUGAUUCAAAUAGAUUGCUGUGAUUUUGGUGUUUUACGUGGUUAUCAAAUGUGUUCAUACUCAUAAGCGCAGAAGAUCAGAAAGCAAUAAACAAGACAGAGAAGAUUGAAUCAAAAUAAAGCGAAGCAGUUAAUGACAGCAUUCAGACAGACAAGAACAUGGUCUUCCUUACAAAUCUUAACUCUAUAUGUUUUUCAAACAAAAGACCAUCCGUGCAUCCAAGGCACAACAACACAUAGCUUAGUACGGUCCACCGAAACUGCCAUCCUCUCACAAAAACUGCUUCAAAGCGCCUGUUACAAUUUCCUUUACUCAGAUAAAUCAGUCUAUGAAGUGGUUAAUGCCCAAAAGACCCAUCUAUAAGAACAAUAGUAUAAGUCAUACCUCUCCAGAGAAUAGGAAGCCAUAGAUUGGUGCUCAAAACUGGCGCCUUGGAGGCCUAGCCUCAGCUUCAGACACUCUAAUCUGCCUCCCGUCCAAAUCCUACAACAGGGUACAAAGUAUAAGCACAUCAAGAAUAGUUUCAUUGAUCAAACUGUCGGAAUAAAAAAGAUACUUACAGCACCAUCCAAUGUUCUGAUGGCAUUCUGAACCUCUUGAGCAGAGUUGUAAGUCACAAACCCAAAACCUUUCGACCUACCACUGUCCCUGUCGUAGAUGACUCUAGCCUCAACAACCUUCCCUUGCUCCCCGAACAAACUCUCGAGCGCCAUGUCGUCAACACCCCACGAGAGGUUACCAACAUAAACACGGUUCCCUGAACCAGCACCACCACCACCA
RNAcentral lists this long non-coding RNA (51584 nucleotides) under Brassica napus (rape). RNAcentral's name for it is "long non-coding RNA (BNAP_LNC003747)". The record is from RNAcentral. Lineage: Eukaryota; Viridiplantae; Streptophyta; Magnoliopsida; Brassicales; Brassicaceae.